CCGGUGGUAACAGCGAGCGAGAGAAGCAUGCAUGCACUCAUGUUCUUGUUUAGAUAGAAAAAGGCACACACAGAAAUUUAAGGUCUAUUGACAAACAAACCUGCUUCUCUCCUAAACUACAAGCCAAAGUUUUCUCCCCCAACUAGGCUUGUCUUUGCUUGUUGAACUACUGAACAAAUCUUGCAGAAAGUUCAGAACCUUGAGAUUUUGUGACUCUAGUUUAGUGUGAACUUCAGUAAAUGAAUUAAUGAUAAAGCCAGCUAAUAUGUAGUAUGAAUCAACGCAGAUGCUAGUGUUUUGCAAUCAUUGGUUCUCGAAUUCGCGCACUAAAAUGUAUGGGGCAUUUGUAAUUGGCUGCAUGCUAAUAAUGUUACCAGUAAUUUGUCAUCAAUAGUGCUUUCAUCAUUUCAUAUUUUACCAUGUGUGUUAAAUGAAGAGAGUUCAUGCCCGAUGCUCUAACUUGGAGAUGUUGUGAAGGCAAAAACAACAGUUAAUUACAAAAGUAUAGCUGCUCCGUUGACAUAAUAUUAGUAUCUCAAUUCUCAAGAGGGAUAAGUGGAUAAUCCACCAGUCGAAUCAUAGUAGUGUUGAUUUGCAUAUUACUAAAUUUAUGGAUUGUGUCGAAGAGAAGGAAUUGAAGGAAUUUAUUCAAUUUCAUCUAUGUAUGCUUUCAUUUGAUUUUUAUUGGCAGAUCAUCGUGGUCUAGUUUUGACUUACAUAUUCAAUAGAAUUUUGUGGUAUACAAAGAAUAACACAUGAACACAAUGCAGAUACAUAACCAUCAACAUACCUUUUCUCCUUACUGUUUUGACAUGGUUUCGCUGGUGAUCUAUGUGCACAGCUUGAUCCGGUGAAGCUUUGGAAAUCUAGGACCGUGUUUAAGAAGAUUGGCUCUGUAACUGCUGGCAAUUCCUCUAGUAUAAGGUUUGCUAUUUUCAUACCAUUGCGAUUGAAGUGUCUCUAUUCAAUAUUUCUAUACUUAACAAUUCCAUUCAGAUUUAUGAUGCUAUUUCGUCUAGCAUUGUAGCUUUAUUUUUUCAUGGCCAUAUUACCUUUUGUAUGCAACAUGCAACCAAACUAUGUUGUAUAUCUUCAGUAGUAAAUAUCUCAAGUGUGUACUGAAGCUAGAUAAUUUCAGAUGACCAAUUUUAGGCCUUUUCCAUGGUUGAGAUGAAUUAUGCAAAGCUAUGUUUACUUUAAAGUACAUUCGAAUGUCUAAUUUCAGCUACUCCCUCGGGCCCAUAAUAUAAGAGCGCUUUUGACACUACAGAGUGUAAAAAACGCGCUCUUAUAUUAUGGGACGGAGGGAGUAGUAGAUAUCAGCCACAUUCCAGUAUGGUAUUAGGAUCUUGAGAAAAACAUUUAGCUAGUAGAUAUUCAGCUAUGCGAUUAAAGUCUCUCUUUUCAGCAUUUCUAUACUCAACAAUUUCACUCAGAAUUAUGAUACUGCUUGGUCUAGCAUUGUAGCUAUAUUUUUACAUGACAAGACUACCUUCUGUAUGCAAUAUCGAGCCAAACUAUUAUGUAUAUCUUCGGUAGUAAAAAUAAAGGGUCUGUUUUGUGUCACCUAAGAGUGUAUUGAAGCUGGAUUAUUCUCUGCUCAACAAGCGAUCCCUGCUGGUUUCUUCGCAGAGCACUGAUUACGGCCUUGUUUCCAUCAGGUGGGACUUGGAAGGGGGCCGAGCUGCCAGAGCGGGCAAAGCGAGACAAGAACUAAUCCGGAGGUGGAGUGAAAAGGGGAAGCAGAGAAACGAGGUUUGCUCCGUGUCUUUCUCUUCCAUAUUUGUUGUUUCCAGAUGAUCUCUUCGAUAUUUGCCAACUGUUUCUUCCAAGAAUUCGAGGGCUCACUCAUCCCACCGCAGCCAGUUUACAGCUUUACAGUAGUAGUAUGUUUAACAAGUAGUAGUACAUUGAACAGUAAAACAGAGAUCUCCUGACAUUGGUGGUCGUAGUUUUAUUAAGUGUAAACAUGAUUUGUUUGGGCUAAGAACACCCUGCAGCCAAAGUACCCGGCUAAAGGCACGCACACGAAAUUAAGGUUUAGUAGCGAACAAACCUGUUGCUCUCCUAAACUGCAAGCAAAGUUUUCUCCGCGAUCUAGGCUUGUCUUCGCUUGAUGAACUGCUGAAAAAAGCUUGCCACCAGGACCUUGAGAUUUUCUGACUCUUAUAUUGAAUUCAGCAAAUGAAUCCACGGAACAGCCAUGUAGGAGUCAAUGCAGAUGCUAGAGUUCUGCAACCAGUGUUCUCUGAAUUCACACAAUAAAAUAUAUGGGGUGUUUGUGGCUUGCUGCAUGACAAUAAUGUUAGUACUUAGUACAUUUUCCAUCAAUAUUGCUUUCAUUGCCUUAUAUUUUGCACGUGUAUUAAAUGAAGAUAGUUCAUGUGUACUAAAUGAAGAUACUUUGUGGCUGUUGUGCUAAGUUGGAGAAGAUGUCAUUGUUAAGAUAACAACUACUCCCUUCAUCCCAUAAUAUAAGAUGUUUUUGCAAGAUGUUUUAGCUUGCAAAAACAUCUUAUAUUGUGGGACGGAGGGAGAAUUGUGGAAAUAUAGUUGUUUCAUUGAUAUGAUAUUACUAAUAUCUCAAUGCUUUAAAAGGAAUAAAUUGAAAAUCAAGCAAUCAACUUAUAGUUGUGUUGACUUACAGAUUACUAAGUUCAUGGAAUGUGUUGAACGGAAAGAAUUUCGUCAACGUCAUCUGGAUAUGUUUUCAAUUUUAUUGAUAAACCAUCAUGAUCUGGUUUUGACUGGCAGAUUCAAUAGAAUUUUGUGGUAUAAUAACAUGUCAACACAACAGGUUGAUCCAGUGAAGGUGAGAAAACUUGAGCCAGCUUUUAAGAAGAUUGGCUCUGCAACUACUGGCAAUUCCUCUAGUAAAAGUUCUGCUAUUUUCAUACUCCUUGCUACUUGUUUGCUAUCUUAGAUGGAAACCUUGCAGAAUAGUUAACACAGCCACAUUCUAGUAUGGUAUCAAAAUCUUGAAUAAAACAUUUAGCUAGUACAUAUUCAGCUAUGAUUGAAGUGUCCCUAUUUUGUAUUUCUAAACUUAACAACUUCAUUCAGAUUUGCGAUAUGUGAUAUGCAACUUCAUUGAGGCCUAGCAUUGUAGCUUUAUUUUCACAUUACCAGACUACCUUUCAUAUGCAAUAUGCAGCCAAAUUAUGUCGUAUAUCUUCAAUAGUAAAAACCAAGGAUCCACUACUAGGGAAAAGGCUAGCAGCAGCGCGGGUUCUAGGUAUAUCAGUAGUGCGGGGACCGACACUACUAAUAAGGUGCUACAGCUAACCCGUAGCAGUAAUGCAUGCACACCCGCGCUACUACUAUACAAGUGUAGCAGCAGUGCGCUUCGUGGAAGCUCGCUACUGCUAAUAGCUCUAGCGCGCUUUGCCUGGACGCGCUACUGCUACUGUGGCGCUGCUGCUAACUUUUCUCCACUCGCUACUGCUAAUUUUAGUAGUUUUUGUUUUUUUUCUGCAUAUUUGUUUUGUAUUUGAACAUGCUUUAUACAACAAUAUUUAGCAGAUACAAAUGUCAUCAUGAUACACAUACAAAUGGCUACGAGACCACAAAUGUAAUCAUAGCAUAUACAUGCAAAUAGUCCCAUUAUAAUCAUCAUCCAACACAAAGUGGUAUCUCGUCAUCAUCUCGAAAAUAGCGAUACAUGCAAGUCUCGAAUACUUGCAACUACAACGUCAUCCAUCUAAACAAUGGUAUACGCGAGAAGAGCUAUCACUAUGAGUGAUAGCGGAACUAUGCAGUACAUGAGGCGGCGGUUACGAGUCCUCUCUCGAGCUAGCGUGAACCUCAAGUAACUAGCUUCGGCUUCUUGUCUGGUUUUGAAGCCUUUAUGGCUGGCGCCCGAGACCCCAUUCACUUGCGCCUGACAGUCAGGCCACUCGUUGUACACCCCCGGAACCUUCCCUUUGUACACAACAUAGCACCGCCAUCUCGCCAUCAAGAAACUAGGUACCUGUUAGAGAUGCAUGUUCAUUAAGAGGAUGUACAAUCAUAUGCAACAAAAUAUAUUAGAGCAACACGAAAAAGAAAGGGUUAAUUAGCAACUAGAUGCAACAUACAGUACGCAAACUAAUUAACUAGAGGUACGCAGGUCAUCGUACCCAAACAAACAAAGUAGUGUUACGCAAGUUCGGCAGGGACCAUGGACAUCACAAAGUUUCAUCGCUACAGAAAGUAUACAAGUUCAAUCCUUCCAUAUCAUCGAGGAUGGACCCUAGCUUCUUGAAUGACGUGAGGUCUUGACGUUGCAUGCCUUUGCGAGUUCGGACGUCAGCUCACGAUAUAGGGCUGUGGUGGAACAUCCCCUUCUCAUCGACGACUUCUUUCAUAAUGAUCGUCGCAAUGUCCCUUUGGAUGCGAAAGAAGUCAUCUCUAAGUUUAUAAUCCGCUUCUCCAUGAGAUUCUAGCCACUUGUGGAUAUGUUCAUCAUUUCUGCUUGUCAUGCGAAGCUUUUGGUGAUCCGUGUUGAACUCAAUCAUGAGAUGGAGGAUGUAGAAUCCAUCCUUCUUGUUUGGUUUUGGGACAUGGAUGCAACAGAAGUUAGUUUUAUGCGCGAAACCCAUCUUCUUGUUCCUUUGUUUCCUGAUCUGCAUGUGGCCACCUCUAAUGCUGAAGCCUUGGAGAGCAUCAUCUAGAAUAUUCAUUAUGUGGGUGUAGUCCUUCUUCUCGUAGGCUCUGGAAGGGUCGAAAUACACGGCGUGGGAGACUCGCAGGUAAAGAACGAUAAGGAGGACGUGCCCGUUGCUGCGGGGAAAAGACACCUCAAAUUAUUCUCCAUAUGAGCGAGAAGGAAUGAUUGAAAUGUACGAAAGGGUUGUCCGGAACUGACUUACUUUGGAUGAUAAGGCAGGAGGACAAUUUCCUGGUCCUUAUUCUGUACCAUGAAGUUUUGGAGGUAGUCCCUAGCAGUUUCACUCUCAAAGUCGCCGAGACUCAAGAAAUACUCGUGCAUGCAGUAUAGAUCCGCCACACAGAUUUGCGAGACUUCUUCUCUCUUCAUGACGGAGCUCAUAUGUAGUGCAAAAAGGCGGACGAUUGUAAAAUCGAGCCGCCUUGUCAGAAACAUCUCAAAGAUAUGGUCAAACCGCAGGAAGAACACCUCCGCGGGCCGUGUGUCGACGUAGCACUUCCCCUCAGUCACACGAGCCGCGUAUGUCGGAUAUCCUGGAUCCUUUGAGGCUAGUAGGCUUUUCUCAGUCGACAGCACAUGGUCGUGCAGUCUCCUGAGAUCCCCUCAUAGUGCCUCCUACGGUUUCGACGGUAGCAUCGGAUCGCCCGUGAGAUGGAACAUGGCCGCACCUUUCACGGGUACAUGCUCUUCGGAAUCCAUCAUCUGGCUGCGAUGUGCUCUAGCUUGUUUGGAGGCAGCUAUCUUCCCUGAUAUCUUCCUCUCCUUUUUCUUGGGCACACCUUCCAGACCCUUCCUUAACCCCUGCCCCAGUGUUCCCGGGCUAAGCACUGUACGACCCUCGGCUAGUUGAGCCUGUGUUGAGGCAACAUCUUCAGGUGUGUCCUGUGAGGAUUUCAUGAAGAGAGACUUUUUGCAAUCCCUGCUACGACCUUCCUGCCCGGGCAGAUCAUCUAUAUCCUCAUUAGCAUGCUGAUAGCCCGAUUCGUCAUAUGGUUGACUCAUCAUAUUUACGUCACAGUCAUACGCGUUUGUAUUGAGGAAACCCAUUGGGUCGACCUCUGUCUCAUCAUCCAUUCUAUGUUGUACAGGACCGAUUACAUUAGCCAGUACUAUUGCACCCCCUUCAUCACGUCAUCCGCCGCUCUCACCCGACACUACAUGAGCUGGUAAUUGCGUAGGCGGGGUGGUGGUCUCUGCACAUGGUUGUUGAUGUGUGGUUAUUGGUGUGCUCUCGGCCGGCUCCACAUGAAUAAGAUUCUUCUGCCAUAGCAGCACCCAACCCUUGCAGUUUCCAAUCCACGGCGGGGUCUCAUCGUCCUCUCCCACAGGCUGUACUGGAGGAGGCAAAUGCUCAUGCCCCGAUGUCACACUGGACAAGUUAACUCUGAAGUGCCCAACGGGGAUCGGGUGGUUGUGGAACAUGGGUUGCAAGGGAUUCAUUAUCACCCCCCUUCCCACGUCCACCUUCUGGCCUUUGAUCAAGUAGAGUAUGGUGCACGGGGUUUCUUCGGCCUACAAACACAUGUUGGUGCAACAUGUAAUUAAUUUGAGGCCAUCGAGCUCAGCCAAAGACGAAGGCCCACCUAGCACGCCAGAGACUCAGGACGGGCUACUAUGAGCGGGAGCGACCGCGAGAGGAAGCCCGGUUGCGUGAGCAAGUGAUGGUGCGUGGUGUUGUUGUUCACGGAGUUGCUCCCGACGAAAUUGGGCAACGGGAAAUCAUGUACCGUCUUGUCUGGAUUUUCCUUCGUCCAUAUGAUGAUAGCUGGAACCAAGCUAGUAGUGAAAUCAUUUCUGCAGGCAGUUACAGCUACAUUGACUGCCUGCUGUAGCAACUCAUUUUUCUCCUCGGCUGUUUUUUUCGCGUCCUCAGCUGCUUUUUUCUCGACCGCAAGCUUCACCUUCUCGUUGAUGUCCGCCUGACUAAACUUCUUUUUCUGCUUCUUGGCCUCCGGGCCCUUGUUGUAAUACACCUUCCACGUGGCACCGUUUCCAGCGCCGUGCACACGACCAUAUUGCGGCCACUGGCCCAAAGGGAGUCCCUUAAGUCCGUUCAAGGCCCGGUUGAGAGGUAGGGCUUUCGGCUGCAAGCUGUUGUUGCUUCUCCUGCAGAAGAAGCGUGAAUCGUUUAGGAAUGUGUAGUCGACUAGAUCUGGAGCUAAAUGUAAGGUGGUAAAAGAAUAAUUACCAGUAGUCUAAUCAAUUUCCUUGUGAUCUGGUCCAUGUAAAAAACCUUCUUUUCCUUGUCCCACUUGUAGCGGGCCCUGAUGAAGUCAUGCUCCAAGGGGUUGGUGAACUUCGCGAAGGGGUCUGGGAUACCCGCGACUUCACGUUCCGCGUCCUCCUUAUCCCAUAUGGGCCUUUUACCGAGGUAGCCACGGCUUCUGAAGCGAUGCUUCCUCGUGUUCCUUUGCUGAAGGCUCUUGAAUUUAGCAGCCUUAGACUUGGAUACCUCGGUAGCGCAAGUGUCCUUGAACUUUUCGAUCUCCUCUUCCAUAAGUGUCGAAUUUUCCUCCAAAAUCUUGGACAGGGGUUCCUUAGCUCAAUAGCCCAUUUCACCCUCCCUUUCCAGGAGGCCAAAUCAUUGCUGAACAUGCCCAUGGCGUGAUUGUUAAUCUUUUUCAUCCCCGGAUCAUCCCACGAUUCUUCUAUGUUAUCAUCCCUGUCGGGGAACUUGAAUCCCUUGUGCAACUUCGUCAGGAGCAAAUACGUCAAAUGUUCUUUACUCCUUAAGUCAUUGUCGACUUGGUUCCCAUAACACUUGCGAGGUUCUUCCGGCUCUAAUGGUUCAAACUUGCCAGGUGCCAUCUUUGUGAUCACCAGUCGUCCAAUCCCUGGUUUGUUAGGUUUCCGUAUCCUCUGCUUCUUCUACUUCUUCUUUUCGGUAGCGGCAUCAGCGCUGGUACCUUCCCUGCCGAUAUCUUCCUCGCCGGUAUCUUCCCCGCCGGUCUCAGCGCCGCCAUCGGUGCCGGCACCAUCGAUGUCAAUGUCGACAUCAUUACCAUCAUCGAGGCCGACCUAAAAACCUUGACUUUGCAUUUUCUUAGCAGUCAAAAAGUCCAGGUACUCUUGUUCACCCUCAUAAUCCAUCUCGUCUGCAUCUUGGUUAGAAGGCCCAAUUUCUUUGUUGCUCAACAUAGUUCCUAUGAUUAAGUGUCCUCGUUUAAUUCAAAAAGUAUGAAAAAAAGAGAAAUGACAUAAAAAAGAAAUCUAUGUUUGCUGGAAUGUCGUUUCCCAGCACUCGAUAUGCCUACUAUCUAGCACAAAUCAUGCCAAAAUUCAUGAAUUUUUUUGGCAUGACCUUUGCUAAAAAAUGGACAUAUCGAGCGCUUGAAAUUCACCGGAACAGAAAUGAAUAAACAUUCCGGCGUAACAUAGGCCACUCAGAUCAUUUACCCAGCACAUAAUCAUCAUGUCCAAAUGACAUGUCCAAAUUUCUAAAUAUGACAUGUCCAAAACAUCACAUGUCCACAUAUCACAUGUCCACUUCAAAUUUGCAUAUAAAAGGAAGAAAAAUAUAGAAUUUGCAAAAAAACCUAGCUAAAUUCAUAACUAAAUAUAUAACCUAAUUAACCAUCUGCCUAACUAAAACCUAACUAAAUUAACCAAAAAAUCUAGCUACCAGAUAGAGGAGGAGAGGUGGGGGGCUUACAGAGGGUGCAGGCCCGACGACGGCCGAGGUUGGGAGGGGUCGGGGUCGGGGUCGAGUGCCAGGGCCGGAGCCAAGAUCAGGGUCGGGAUCGGAGCCAGGGUUGGGGUCGGGGCCGGGGCCGUGGGCGAGCGCUGGGGUCAGGGUCAGGGGCCAGAGCCAGCGCCGGGGUCGGUCGGCGUCGGGGUCGGAGGCGAGCGUAGAGGCACGGCGAGGGCUCCCGCGGCGCGACGGGGGAAGAGAGUGUGUGGGGAUUUGGGGGAAAAGAGGCGGGAUGAAGAGAGGAGUGAGGAUUUUCGGGGUUAAGUGGGCAUAGUAGUAGCGCGUUUAGGUAAAACGCACUAUAGCUACUCCAGGUAGCUAUCGCAGUUUCGUGUAGAAACCGCUACUGCUACCUUGACUAGCUGUAGCUCUUUUCUCAAAAAAGCGUUGCUGCUAUAACUAGUACCUAUAUAACAAUUUUCCCGUUUGUUUCCUUCUAUUUUCUUUUCCUUUAUUUUCAAGAACAGUUAACGAAGGGAAUUGAAGGCAAUAUAUAUUGCAUCAUUUGACGGUUAAAUAUGUAUACUAAAUAGGAACAUAUAUAUUACAUCAUUGGACAUACGGUUCCUCAGCGUUGAUGUUUUCAUUUUUGAGUCAGCUUCUUUCCCUUCUUGUUCGUUGAAGAAUAAUUGAGCCCCUCAUUGUGACUUUGCCUUUUCCAUGGAGUACGAUUUUUCUUUGGUAAUGUAGUAUUGAUUCUUCUUUUGACGUAUACUUCAUCAUCAUCUUCCCUCAUUGGGCUGCCGUACUGAUCGUAGUCUUUCUCGUUGGCGACCCCAUCCAUUCCAAUGAUGUUCCUUUUGCCUCUCCUCACGACAACACGGCGGGGAUUGCGCGGGUCGGUUAUGAAGAAGCAUUGUGUCACGUGCUUAGCUUGUACCCAUGGCUCAUUUCUUGCGAUAGCGUCCACGGUAGUGCUCUUGGCGUCGGGUAUAGUCAUGGUAGUGAAAUUCCGGUUUUCUCUUUCGACAUUCUUAGCCCAUCUGACACAGAACAUCGUCGUGUUGUGCAGUCCAGAGUUGUCAAGCUCCCAGAUCUCCUCGACCCUUCCGUAAAAUCUUCCAGUUGCGCCGUUGUCGCUGCCGGUCAUGCAUUCCAUUGUCACCCCUGUGUUCUGAUCAUCACUGUCCAUAUCUUUGGCCUUCGUGUAGAACAUGUAUCCGUUGAUAUCGUAUGCCUGAUAGGGUAGGAGGUUGGGCGAGGGGCCAUAUGCUAAGGCGUAUAUGAGCAAUCCGUCCUUAGAGCCCUCCUCCGGGGGAUUAGCAAUAAUAUGCUCUUUGAACCAAUGCAUGAAAGUGGAGUUGUGCUCUCUAGUAACUUUGGCGUCCGUCCUGCAUACCCCCGGUCACGAUACUUCUUUGCAAUAAUUUCUUUGUGCAGUGCCACGAAAGGAUCUACCUCGUCUAUGUGUUGUAGUACUACCAAGUUUCCUAUGUCAAAGUCGCUGCAUCGAUCUGAGUAUGCCACGUGCAGUUCACUGCGACCGUUGGAGUGACCUUCUCCUUCAAGCCUCCCAUCGGGCUUGUUAAUGGGCAAACCAUCACUAACAUCAGGCGGCUGGUCUGCGCCAUAUAGAAAAUUCUCGCAGAAAGAGAUGCACUCUUGUGUCAGAUAGCCCUGGACGAUGCUUCCAUCCGGACGGGACAUGUUAUGAACGCAUCCUUUGAUAUUCCCAUUCAUCCUCUCAAACGACAUCUUGUUUUGCAGAAAUGACAGGCCCAAGUCUAUUAUGUCGUCCACAAUAUGGACACACAGAUGCACCAUCACGUCAAAGAACGCGGGCGGGAAGUACAUCUCAAGCUCAUUCAGUAUCACAACGAUCUCUUCAUGUAGCCUCCGGAGCUGCUUCAGACUGUUCAUCUUUCGAGAGAUGACGUCGAAAAAGUUGCAGAGACCAAUAAGCAUGUCACAGUCGUGCUUGUCCAUUAUCCCUCUAAGGCGACAGGUAGUAUCUGCAUCAUCAUCACAUGACAGUCAUGGGACUUCAUCCCGCUGAACUUUUUCUUGUCUGUGUCUAGAUAUUUGCUUAUCUUGCCACAGUAACCAGAACUAACUUUGACUCCGAUAAGGCACUUAAAGAAUGGAUCGAAUUCAGCCUGACUUAAGGUGAAGCAAGAAGGGGGGCAGUAAUCCUCUUUCUUUAUUUUCUUGCCCAUCUUCUCCCGUGCCUCUGUCUCCGUCUCUAUCUCGUCUGACUGUUUACGGGGCAACAUGUGCAGAUCUUCCAUGACAUUCAAAUCUUGCAAGUCUUUUCUUGCCUCCGGCCCAUCCUUUAUCUUAUCUGGCGUGUUCAUCAAUGUCGCGAGCAAACUCUCAAGGACAUUCUUGCAGAUGUGCAUUUGAUCAAGGCAAUGAGGUGUAUCGAGUUUGUGCGAGUACUCCAAGUCCAAGAACACAGACCACGGCUUCCCUACCUUCAGCAGUGGUUCCGGCGCCUUUUUCAUCGUCUUUCCCGGCGCGGGGCACUCCUUCUAGUUUUUCAACAGCUCAUUGAUUUCGGCACCACUCCACUUACGUGGAGGUCCUCGAUGCUCAGCGUGACCAUAGAAUAGAUCUCCAUGGUUUCUCCACGGGUCGUCCUGUUCGAGCCAUCUUAGAUGCCCCAUGUACACGAUUCCCCCAGACCUGCCAUCUUUCCUUGAUGUUAGCUGUUGAGACGUCGUAUCAUCCAUGCACUGCGUGCAUCCGCAAUAUCCAUGGCACACCUGGCCUGUGACAUAUCCGUAACUGAGAUAGUCAUGCACUGUCGUGAUCAGCACGGCUCUCAUGUAGAAAUACUCGCCUUUGCUGGCGUCCCAUGUCUUGGCCGGUGUUUUCCAUAAAGUGUCUAACUCCUCUUUAAGUAGCCCAAGAUACAAAUUAAUAUUAUUUCCUGGUUGUUUCGGCCCUUGAAUAAGCAUGCUCAUGUGAAUGUACUUCGACUUCAUGCACAACCAGGGGGAGGUUGUACAUCCAUACAAACACGGGCCAUGUGCUAUGGUUGGUGUUCUGGUUGCCAAACGGAUUCAUGCCAUCGGUACACGCGCCGAGCAUGAUGUUCCUUGCAUCACAUUCAAAAUACCGAUAGAAGCUGUUGAACGCUCGCCACUGGCUUCCAUCCUUGACGUGUCUCAGCUUCGGAUCAUCUCCAUCGUCGGGCUUCUUCCUCUCCACGUGCCAACGCAUUAGCUUUGCUUCCUUGGGAUCUAUGAAAUACCGCUAGAGACGGGGAGUGAUCGGUAAGUACCAUACAACUUUCUGGGGACAUUUCUUCCUGGCCUUCUUGUAUCGAGAAGCAUUGCACACCGGACAACUUGUUUUUUCCGCGUGCUCCUUCCGAUAAAUUAUGCAAUCGUUGAUGCAUGCAUGGUAUCUAACAUGCGGCAGAUCAAGAGGGCACACGAUCUUCUUGGCCUCAUCAACACUAGUAGGACAUAGAUUCCCUGCGGGAAGAACAUCCUUUAGGUACUUGAGAUGCUCAUUGAGGCUAGUGUUGGUCCAUUUGUUUUGAGCCUUCGUCUUCAAGAGUUGGAGCGUGAAACUCAAGCGGGUCACCUUAGGAUUGCAACCAUCAUACAAUGGAGUGUUCGAGUCUACCACCAGUUGCUCCAGCUUAGCCUCCUCUCUAGAAGCAGCUCUCUCAAUACUUGUCUCCUUGCGAAGCAGUGCUUGAACAUGAGGGUCAUGCACGAUUGAACUUAGUACCGACAAGCUCUGCUACGUGGAGUCCAUGUUCUCUCCGCCUCCAUGUCCGUCCCCUUCUCCGCCGCCAUGUCCGGCUACUUCCCCACCACCAUUAUCGAUCAUCUCUUCGUCUUGCCCCGUGUCAUCAUCCCUGCCCCGUCGGCAUCCUCAACAUCGUCAUCAUCAUCUUCAAUUAUCCACCGAGUAUAGCCAUCCAUGAAACCAGUCAUGAGCAGGUGCGCAUCGACACGACCAUCAUCAUAGGGGUCGAGCCAAACUAUUCCUUUGCAUUUUCGACACGGACAUAAAACCUCUGUCCGGUUAUUUUCUUUCAUGUCCCGCACCGCCGACCGCAACCACCUGUCCAACAUCGUUCCACUGACCAUCAUGAACAUCCGCACAGUAAUAAUAAACAAAUUGAUUAUUAAAAUGCGUGCAUGCAUCAAAUUCAUACAAAAAUUCGGCAUGACCUUCCUAAAAAUAGGACAUAUAUAGAUCUAGAGUUUUCUUGGAAUUCGUCAAAACGGAAAUAAAUCGACAUUUUGGCAAAAUAUAGGCAACUCAAAAGCACAAUUUGGCAUCAACACAUGCCACACACACAAUUUCCAUCAUAUUGCCCAAUUAUCAUAUCACACACACAUACACAUGUUUCCAUUUUGCAAAAGCAUGAAAUUUUAAUACACAAAGCUCUUCUUGACAAAGAUAGAUCUAGUUUGGGGGCAAAUAGGUCACUUAACUAAAUGCUACAUCUACCUAGCUAGCUAAUUUGGGAGGAGACAACUUCAACUAGUGGAGGGGGAAGGAAAAAGAGAAAGAAGAUGCAUUAAUGGAGGUGGUGUAGUUAGCUAGGAGUAAUGAAGAGAGAGAAAGGUAGGUAGAAGAGGGAGAGUAAUGGGGGGAGAAGUAUUGAGGAAGAAGAAGAGUGAGAGAGGGAGGAUGUGGGAGGUAGGGGAAAGGGAGGAGAGGAGAUGGGGAGGCAAGGUAGGGGAAAAGGUGGUGGGGCUGCAUCUUAGCAGUAGCGCGGGAGGAAAAACGCGCUACUGCUAAGAGCAUAGCAGCAGCGCGCUUUCCUCACACGCGCUACUGCUAAAUGGGCCAACUGUGUGGACAAUUUCAAAAUUAGCAGCAGCGACGUGACUAAAAAGCGUACUACUACUAUUGCAUUAGCAGUAGCGCGCUUUGUGACGCCGCGCUGAUGGUAAACUUAGGUUGGUGUGUACUGUCGGUCGAUUUUUGUAGCAGCGCGGUUUAGACAUCACGCGCUACUGCUAAAUUUACAUCAGUAGAGCGGUUUUCCUAAGCUCGCUACAGCUAAUUAGCAGUAGCCUCUCUUUUUGUGCCGCACUGCUGCUAAGAUUAUGUGUAUAAGGUUUUCCCUAGUAGUGAUCUGUUCUGUGUCAACUUAAGAGUGUGCUGAAGCUAGAUUAUUCCAAAGCUUGAAUUUUAGGCGUAGGUGAAGUGUCGUGUUGAUCACCCUCUGUCAGCACCCACUACUAGGGAAAAGCCUAUACAUAGAAUCUUACCAACAUCGUGCUUUAAAACAAGGCGCUGCUGCUACGUACCAGGAGCGCGUAGCGAGAAAACGCGCUGCUAACAUAGAUGUAGGAGCACUGUGCCUAUGAUAAGACGCACUACUGCUAUAAUUGCCACGACCCCGCCGUGAAGCUAGUUAUAGGAGCAGUGCCUUACUACAAAGAGCGGUACUACUACAGAUCAUAGCAGUAGCGCAUGCUCACUAUAACCGGUACUGCUAAGUUUACUACAAAAUUUAGUCCCACCUCGCUCCACGAACAGGGUUUUUACCACCUUAAAUAUCUUAGUUCUCAAACUAUCACAACCACUUGGUUUUCAUUGAACUCUAUGUGUAGAAUUUUUGGCUGCAAUAUGAGUCUUCUCCGGUUUCUAAAAACCGAUGAGGACUCAUAUUAAUAAUUCAGAUCGUACACAAAAAGAUCAUUGAUGAUCAAUGUAUUUUUUAUGUAUAUUUUUACAUGUUUACACAUAACAGUAGCGCGUUUUGCCUAUAAGGCGCUACUGCUAGGUCUUUUAGCAGUAGCGCAUUUCUCUAUAGCGUGCUACUGCUAAGUUAUUCUAUCUUCCCCAACCUACCGCCCAUCACUCUCGUCUCUCCACUCACACUCACUGGAUCUCCCCCCUCAAUCCCGCCGUGCCGGUCCUCCCCCGCCGGCCGCCAUCGCCUACCCCUUCUCCCUCUGCACCGCCGUCACCUCCUCCUUCUCCCUGGACCCGGUAAUCCUUCGUCGGCCGCCCUCCUCCCCAAGCCCUCCUCCUCCGUCCUCCCUCCACUCCUCCUUCGCCGCCGGCCGGCCCCUCCUCGCUCCGCCUUCCUCCUCCAUCCUCCUUCCUCCUCCAGUCGCCCCUCCUUCUCCCUCCUCCCUCCUCCAUCCACAAUCCCUCCUCCUUGCUAGAUCUUGAUUUAGUAGGCUAGUUCAUUGCAACACUUUGAUUUAGUUGAUAUGAUUUACUUGAUUUAGUAGGCUAGUUGAUUUAGAACAUUUUGAUUUAGUAGGCUAGUUGAUUUAGUUAAUUUAGUAGGAUAGUUGAUUUAGUUGAUUUAGAACAUUUUGAUUUAGCUGAUUUAGUAGGCUAGUUGAUAUGCAACAUUUAGAGAGACACACACUGAGAGAGAGAUAUGAUAGUUGAUAGUUUUUAGUUGAUAUGAUUAACUGAUUAGUAAAAAUUUAGACAUAGUUGAUAGGUUUUAGUUGAUAUAAGCCUCUGGCCAUAUAUAACACUUUGAUAUAGGAUAGUUUCUAGGGUUUAGAAUAGUCGAUGCUAGUUUGCUACGUUGGUUUGCAUGUUGAGCUUGAUGAUCAUCCCAUGCUAAGUUAUUGUUUUCUUUGCUCAUAUUGAUUUAGGAAAAUGGCGCGACCACCACCACCACCAUGUCGACUGUGCAAGUCAUGGUGUGGCAGCAGCCUUGCAGCUGGCAAGCUAUUCGACAUAUUCUUCCAACCGAGUUUUUGUCAUGCGGCGGUAAGAAAUUAUAUGAAAUGUAACAAGUAUUUUGUUUUUAGUGUUGGCAUUAAUGCAUUGUGUCAUUUUUCUUUUUGUACACAGAUCGUCCCAUGCAAUGUGAGGUUGAAAUUCAACAAUAUGACAGGAGACAAUGUGACCUUUGAGGCUCCUGGGGGCCCUACACUAUGGAGGUCGAGAAAGGACGCAAUAUGUCGCAAAUUGGAGGAGAUGGAUGGUCCCGUUUCCUCGCCCACAUGUGUCUUACUGGUGGUGAGUUGGUCAGCUUCCCCUGUUUUUAGUUAAGCUCUGCGUGUUCACGACCAUCGAUCAAUGGUAGCAGUUUAUCAUUGCUUGAGUUCUGCGACCAUAGAAAUUUCGCACUGCACGCUGAUUACCGCAAUACAUGGAACUGAGUUGAUGCUCAGUAUUUCACAGUUGACACCCGCACCACUAAUCAUGGAUAAUUUGUUUAUGUAGUUAAUUUCUCUUUGUGAUGAAUUUGAUGUAGUGUUAUUUUGUAUUCUAGAUGGUUGCUCUCUUGGAAAUGAGUGGUCCAUGGUAUUCAUCCACCCUGAACCUUUCUCGCUUUUAUAUUUUGUCUGUUUUGGGUUGUUUCAUACAGAGAGACCUGACAUUGCGGUUUCUUUCAUUAUGACAGGACCUUCUAAAGGGAGGAAAACCACCCUGGAAGUCACAGGCUUUGGGAGGGAAGCCCUACACAUCUUGGUUCAGGUGAGUCAUUGAUCCCCCCCGCCCCUCUAUCCAUCUCUCUUGCUUUGAGAUGUUUUGGCCAUCAAGCCAUUGAUUUAGUGUUUGGAUCUGUUAUUUAAUUGCAUGUCUGGUAGUUUCAAACACAAUGUUGUAUGCUCUUUGUAAUUUCUGGUUUCCUAACUAAGCAGUCCAAGCAUGUAUCUCUAAUUUGUGAUGGAUGUGACAUCCACUUUCUAGUGAAUUUGUGAUGCUGACCAAACGAAAAUACUAGUUGAACAAGAAGGUCGGUUCGAUGCUGUUUGCUUGUACGAAUGAGUCCAAGCAGUUUGUGUUAAUUUGUUUGAACUUGGCGGGUUGCACCUUUAUCCCAUUACAGGGUUUGAAAUGGCUCCUCCACCUUUCUUGGGCUAAUAAAGUGCAGGAUUCUCGCAUUACCUAUAUUCAUGUUAGCUGGCAAUAUAUACUCCCUCCAUCCCAAAAUAAGUGUCUCAACAUUAGUGACACUACCAAGCGCGAGCACUUUGGUGUCUGUGACCAUACGCUAGCUAAAUGGCCGAUCAUCUUUGGUUCCCUCUCUCCCUUUUGGUUUUUAGAAUAGCAUGCCAUUGUUUUUGUUGUCCCCUGGUAGUAUAAGGCAACACUUGGUGUGUGAGAUUGUCUAGUGCCUUUUUAGAUUAGUCACCAUAAAACAUUUUGUUUGUGAAGUUGAUGCUGCCAGAACUUCGAUUAUGUGAGGGUCUGUCGUUACUUAAGGCCAGCUUAUGUACGAGGGUGUCUUUUCGUUUUGGGUUUUGAGCAUAGCAUGUUUUUGUUUUUGUCAUCUCCUUAUGAUAGUACCAGCCAACAGUUUUGUGUGAGAUUGACUUUCUAGCUUCUUUUUUUAUAACUGGCUAUAGAACAUUUAGUUUGUGAAUCCCUUUCGGGGGUUCCUUAGGGACCGAUUCCCUCUGCACAGAUUGACUGAACAUGUCUGGUCAUUGUUUCUUUAACUUGUUGCAUGUGUAUUUGAAGCUCUGACUUAGAAGUUUUGUUCAUAUGGUCGUCAGGUUAUGUGCCAUGGAAUGGACGGAUGAUGGUGAGCGACCACCAAUGGAUAUGGUCGAAUCCACCUUGCCAGUCUCGAGAGUCCUUGGAAGUGGACGGUGGCCAUAUUGGUUGAAGGCAGGGGGAAAUCGCUCGACGUAUUUCAGCAAUCAACAGGGCACUUUCAGGCUUGUUUGCCAUUGGAUGGACUUAGAGGGGUCUGUAGAGAGAUCCCAAUCUUAUGGUCUAAGUGUCUGUGCUGAAUGGUGAUACAUUCUGAGAUACAAGAAGACCCUGCCGAUCUAAUCUUGAAGAAUACAAAUUGGCAUUAUUGUGUUUAUUUUCACUUCUCUCUCUUGUAGGCUGAGGUGUCUCAGAACUUUGUAAAAUUGAUGGGAUGGUGAUAUAUGUUGGCCUUGUCCCAGGGAUUGUAUUGUGUGGCACGGAGGGAGUUAUUAUUGUAUUUUCGGUCAGUGUCAAGAGAUUGGAAUGAAUGUGUGCGGCUCAAAUGGUAGUAAUUCUUCAUGAAUGAUUCAUUCAAUAGUUAUAUGUACAAUAAUAACUUGUGCAUGAAAACAUAUCUAGUAUGUUGAUGUGGAAAGCAAUUGCUUUCUUGCUUUCAAAUUUUCCAUUAGAAAAGGAAAUUGGAGUGGUUGUGCUUGUGUAUGCAUCAACAUGUGAGCAAGCAUAGGAUUGCUUGGCUGGUAGUUAUUGUUGUCCCCGACAAUCAUGUCGAAACUGGAGGUUUGGAUUUGGAUUCUUCUCUCUUUUGUUGCGUAUUACUACUUGCAACAAGAUUAUGUGACAAGGAAGUAGAAGAUAAUUGAUUCGUGGUGCAUUUUAAUCAUGUGAUGAUUAGUAGUUUUGAUUGAUGCUUGAUAAUGGUUCAACUUGAUCAUGUUCUAAUAUUGAUGAUCACUAGGUUGUUUUGAUCAUUCUUAUUUCGAGCAGACAGUGUUGAAUCGAAUAUGUGUAAUAUUAUAUGCUACCAUAUCUGUCACAAGUAACAAAACAUCUUAUAAUUAGAAACCGAGGAAUGCAAAAGAGCAACCUGUUUUCUCUUCUUAGUUAUCUUCUCUAAUCUAUGUACUAUUCCUAAUAAUAUGUAAAAUCUGCUAGGGAAGAUCAGUUUUUGUUUUGGGAAUCAGACACUUCAAGUUUGUUAGGAGGAGAGAGAAAGGAGAGAUCUCUGCAAGUUUGUUAGGAGGUGAGAGAAAGGAGAGAUCUAUGCAAGUUUGUUAGCAGGAGAGAAAGGAGGGAUCUCGGCAAGUUUGUUAGGAGGAGAGGCAAAGUGGAGAUCUGAGUGACGUGAUCCUUGGAUUCACAUUACAUAUGAAAAAAAUUUGGAAACAGCCAACCGAUUUGCAUCCUUGGAUUCACAUUAUAUAUGAAAAAAGCUGGAAACCGCCAACCGUUUUGCAGUUAACCCUCUCGCUUAUCCCCCCUCCUCGGAAUCAGGCAAUCCCCAUUUAAUUGCUACCGUUAAAUAUAUCGCCCCUCCUCCUCCCUUUGUUCAUUUGUUCCAUCCAUUGGCUGGCAUCCAUCAAAGGUCUGUCUUACCUUACGCCACCUCACCGAUCCGUGGCCUCCUGGUUCUUCUAAGGCCAUCACUAUAUGUACUAGAAAUAGUGAUACAUCUGUGUGCGGGGUGCGCGUGCGACUUAGGACUUUGGACCUUGGGUGACGACGGCGGCGACGGGUGUGAGGAACUUGGACGUAGAUAAAGCAUCACAAGCCUAUUAAGCCGCCAACGGGCAGCAGAAGCCCAACAUUGACGACACAGAUGAGGAGCCCUGCGGCUAGGGAGGCGCGGAUGAAAGAUGAGGAGCCUUGCCGCUAGGGAGGCGCAGAUGAAAGAUGAGGAGGAUUGAGGCCUCCGACGCCCCUCCAGUCCUGCAUGCUGGCGUGGUGAGUAACGAGGAGGAGGAGGCAUUUGUUUGUGCUCUGGCAGUGCGGAGGCACUGGCCGGCCGGAGAUGAAGGGCUCGGUUGGCGGGGGUCUUGUCUAUUGGCUCCCAGUCCUAGCGGCGAGCGCGCAAGGUCGGAGAUGGAUUUGGUUGGGUUGGGUUGGAAUUGGAUUGGAUUGAAAAGAAAGGGAAGGGAAGAACGUGUGUCGGCAAGGAGGAGGAAGAAGAAGAUGUAAUAAGGAUGUACGGACUCGAGUUGCCUGCUGACGAAACGCGUGCGUUUGGGUGGAGAUUCGCGCGCGCAGGUGUUUCAUCUGCGCUAGUUACAAUAUCCCACUAUAGAAUAGUGUAGUACUUCGAAGUAGAAAGCCGUGUUUAAUUCUAACACUCAUCUUGAGGAGUCACUCUCAAAGCAUACAUAUGCUGACUCGUGACGUGACAAAACACAUACCGACUGCUUGAAAAGAACUCGUCUUGGAGACUAAACAUGGACAAACGAUUGUGGUGGUAAAUCGAUGUUUGAUGAGAGCAAGCUAGAGACAACGAAACGCCUAGAGACAACGAAAUAUGGAGAAAUGAUUGUGGUGGUACAUAUCAUGGUUUCAAUAUCCCGCAAAAAAAUUGCUCUUUCCUCUAUUGUGUACUUUUUUCUGUGCAUUACUGGUCUCCCGCGUAGUAAGACCGUGUGAAAGCAGCAGCGCGGAAUGGUCUCUCGCCUAGGCUAGGCUACCUGUGACUGAGACGGAUCUGCGUUUACAUAUAGGAUCACUUUUAUUGUUACCGUCUGUCAUAGCUUCAUGUAAAAUGCUAAAGGUCAAUUUGAUUUUCUCAAGGGAAAAGUGUACUUUUAGUCCCUUAACUUUCAAACUGGACAACUUGCACCUCCGUCUCUUGAAACCAGACAAUUUCAGUCCCUUGUCUCGGCUGUUCCAGUUACUUCUAUCCCACAAAUUUAGAUCAAUUCUAUCUAAUUAACCUUUUUGGUUUUGGGAGUAAUCUCACCACAUAAGAGCAUCUCUAGCCCCUCAAACGACCCCUCAAACCUGAACUCUUUAUAUUUUGAAGAGUUAAAUAAAAAUAAUUCCUAGCCAAACUCUUAACUUAAUUCCCUAAAACAUUUUCCACACUAAUUUAUUUCAACAUAUAUUGAAACUGCUCGAUUGAAAUAGAAAUUUAAACAAUGAUAGGAUAAUUCAGUACAUUGUAUAACAUCAACUUAAACUACUCGAUUUGAAAUUAAACUAAAUAAAACUAAUCUUCUUUGGCCAGGAUUUUCUCCCAAUCCGCGUCACCUACGCCGGAGCCUCUGGAGCUGGGGUCACAGACAAAAAUCUAUCUCUACCGCUCCAUCCUCAUCGCCGAGCCCCCACCGGACUGUCUAGCCUCAUCGGUGAUAUUUUUGUAGAGCUCGCAAACCGGGAGCUCCUCAACGACGAGCUCCGAAUGAUUUUCUUGGAGAUCGGCCAUAUACGCCUUGUCGGUGUGUGCGGCCUAGAUCUGCUCAAAGGCCUCCUUAUUAUCCUGCACCUCACGGAGGGAGACUACUUAGGUAUGGACGAAGAUGAGUUACGAGACAUCGCUACUGCUGAGACGAAUCUUUAUCUUCUUAUGGCUGCUGUGGAGGCUAGGUCUUGUUCAACUCUUAAAAAUUUAAGGACUUGUACGUUUUCUUAUAUCAUGAUAAAUGUUUAUUAUUCAUGCUAGAAUUGUAUUAACCGGAAACUUAGUACAUGUGUGAAUACAUAGACAAACAGAGUGUCCCUAGUAUGCCUCUACUAGACUAGCUCGUUAAUCAAAGAUGUUAAGUUUCCUAGCCAUAGACAUGUGUUGUCAUUUGAUGAACGGGAUCACAUCAUUAGAGAAUGAUGUGAUGGACAAGACCCAUCUGUUAGCUUAGCACUAUGAUCGUUUAGUUCAUUACUAUUGCUUUUUUGAUGACUUAUACAUGUUCCUAUGACUAUGAGAUUAUGCAACUCCCUAAUACCGGAGGAACACUUAGUGUGCUAUCAAAAGUCACAACGUAACUGGGCAAUUAUAAAGAUGAUCUACAGGUGUCUCCGAUGGUAUUUGUUGAGUUGGCAUAGAUCGAGAUUAGGAUUUGUCACUCCGAUUGUCGGAGAGGUAUCUCUGGGCCCUCUCGGUAAUGCACAUCACUAUGAGCCUUGCAAGCAGUGUGACUAAUGAGUUAGUCACGGGGUGAUGCAUUACGGAACGAGUAAAGAGACUAGCCGGUGACGAGAUUGAACUAGGUACGAUGAUACCAACGAUCAAAUCUCGGGCACGUAACAUACCGAUGACAAAUGGAACAACGUAUGUUGUUAUGUGGUUUGACCGAUAAAGAUCUUCGUAGAAUAUGUAGGAACCAAUCUGAGCAUCCAGGUUCCGCUAUUGGUUAUUGACCGGAGAUGUGUCUCGGUCAUGUCUACAUAGGUCUCGAACCCGUAGGGUCCACGUGCUUAACGUUCGAUGACGAUUCAUAUUAUGAGUUUAUGUGAUUUGAUGUACCGAAGGUUGUUCGGAGUCCCAUAUGAGAUCACAGACAUGACAAGGAGUCUCGAAAUGGUCGAGACAUAAAGAUUCAUAUAUUGGAAGGCUACAUUCGGACACCGAAAUGAUUCGGGUCGUUUCAGAUAAGUUUCGGAGUACCGGGGGUUACCGGACCCCCCCCCCCUCCGAGAGGUUAUUGCACCUCAUGGGCCUAAUGGUGGAAGAGAGGAGGCAGGCCAAGGUGUGGCGCCCCCCUAGCCAAAACUGAAUUGGACUAGGGCUAGGGGGCCGCCCCCCUUUCCUUCUCUUCUUCCUCUCCUUCCUUCUUCUCCUACUAGGACUAGGAAAGGGGGGGGGGGAACCUACUCCUACUAGGAGUAGGAUUCCCCCCCUUGGGCGCACCCCUUGUGGCUGGCCCUCCUCCUCCACCCCUCCUUUAUAUAUGGGGGAGGGGUGCACCCCAUAGACACACAAGUUGAUCUUUAGCCGUGUGCGGUGCCCCCCUCCACAGUUUUACACCUCAGUCAUAUUGUCAGAGUGCUUAGGCGAAGCCUUGCGUCGGUAACUUCAUCACCACCGUCACCAUGCUGUCGUGCUGACGAAACUCUCCGUCGGCCUCAAUUGGAUCAAGAGUUCGAGGGACGUCACCGAGGUGAAUGUGUGCAGACCGCGGAGGUGCCGUGCGUUCGCUACUUGAUCGGUUGGAUCACGAAGACGUUCGACUACAUCAACCGCGUUACUAAACGCUUCCACUUUCGGUCUAUGAGGGUACGUAGACACACUCUUCCCUGCUCGUUGCUAUGCUUCUCCUAGAUAGAUCAUGUGUGAUCGUAUGAUUUUUUUGAAAUACUAUUUUCCCAACACAAGCGCUACCCGCGCUUCCACGCCGGCGUUAACCUCGUCUAGGAGGUCGAGGAGCACCUCGACCGGGCCCUCACCUGCUUUAACGACCUUGCCCGUUUUGGCAGGGUCGAUUCCCCCAUUGCCUGACUCGUUUCCGACGAGUACGAUGGGUUCCAGAACACAUGCGGUCUGUAUGAUCUCGAUGAGGGCAAGGGGCUCGUGCUCGUGCUGGAGCUUGAUAAGGCGCACUUCCAUCUCGACACCAACUACGAGCUGGAUUGUGAGACUGCGGGGCAAGUAGGGGGGUGAUGAAUCUGGAAGUGCAGGUAUUUCGAAGAGACCUGGUUAGAUUUGUUGCCCCCAUUGCUAGAUGCUCCAUGUCUACUCCUCCGGUUCCUUGGUCAUUAUUGGGUUGUCUCAAUUUUCAGUUUGGAACACAUAGCCGUGAAUUUUUUAUUGAUAUAUUUGUAGGGAAGAUUUGAUGUAUUAUAUCUAAGCUCUCGCGAGCAGGCCUGAUUUUACAGAUGUUUAGAUGUAGCGGUUCCUGUUCAUUUACAACACAACCCUAUGAUCUAAUUUAUAUUUCUUUGAAUUUAUGAAAUGUGUCCUCUCAUGUUGCCGAUUCAACCUUGGAAGUUAUGGUAGAGACGAAAGGUGGUUUGGUCCAUCUGGUGGAUGGGCCGGAAGUGGAGAUAUAUAGUAUGAGUGGACAUAGCAGGAGCAUUAUUGGAGAUAGCAGGAUCACCCACAUAAUCAAAAUGCAAUGGAUUAAAUGAUGAAUGAUGUAGGGAUGUAGAAGGUGAUCAAUGAAAACUUGGAUGGAAAGGUCUGCUAGAGUGGUGAAUUGUGUUUCUUGAAAAAGAGAGGAAGAUACUUGUGUUUGUGGUCUCGUGGAAUAUCAUACAUAAUAUGCAUGUUUAUGGUAAAAAAACUUGAGCAAUAUUUAUAUUCAUUUGUUGGCCCGUGGCAACGCACGGGUGUUGAACUAGUGAGACAUUAUGGUACAACUCAAAAGAUUUUGAAACGAGGCAAAAGACUUGCCAUUUUCAUUGAUUAAGAAGAAGAUAAUUGCCCGGUUAAUUGACGGAAAACCGGGCUAAAGCCGUUACAACACAACCCACAUGACAUGGGCACCACCAGCCAACCUAGCCACUGACAUGGAACAAAAGCCACGACGGCGCAUGCCAACAAAUGACCACACGCGCAAGCAACCGACAACUCCGACUUUGACGACGCAAGGGAAAUAUGCAGGACUUGCGCCGACCAUGCCCCACCGCAGACGACCACUGAAUGCCUGUCAUCAUCACCACCUGGACUCGCUCCACCGCAGCUCCGACUUCAAAGCAACCAGCAACCACGGAAGAGCACCUCGGACACGCCGGGAAGAACCGACUACCGAAGACCAUGCCGCGACCCAAGCUCCAUUCGACGCCAUCAUCAUUGCCAAACAGAAACCAACGCCCUACCUCAGCAGACCACGCGGCAAAGAAGCCGCCCUCCACAACAAGGAUGUCGUCAUCCACUAGUGUCGGUGUACAAAAGUAGGGGUUCUUCUUUUGACCCCUUUACUUGUGCACAAGCAGUUAGAGCCGCGCGCCACUGCCACACUUAGCAGGGAAGAAGAGGGAAGCUGGAGAGAAGCCGAAACACGAGGCAACCAAGGCAAUGCCAAGACCAGAAACGCAAGAGAGCAAGAGGGCCAGGUGGACUCCCUCGGCAAGAUCCUUGCCGAGGUAGCCUCUGUAGCCCUGGCAAGAGCCUUGCCGAGGCAACUUGCCCGAUGCCAGCGGAGUGAGCCACCCUUGAGCCCACAGGCUCCAACCCAACCAACUACAUUGGAACCAGGGCUCAGGAGGCGCCUCUGUGGUGGCAUGCAAAUCUUCGUCAAGAUCAUAAACAUGUGAGAUCAGAUGAGGACCAGAAGAUGGCGACCCUCGGCGGGAUCCUAGCCGAGGAAAUCCACAAGAACCCGAAGACCCUUGCUGGAGACAACUGCAAUGCCACAACAGCACCCUUUCCGGGCCCCCGGCAAUACCUUUGGCGAGGGCAUCAGCAGGACCACUGCCAGGCCCGCGCCUGCCAAGACUCCACCAUCGUCCCCAAGAAGCUGCUAGCUCAACCAGCUGGGAAGGCACCUGCGUGGCGAUGGGCAGCCUCUACACCGACUCAGCAAGCACCUCCAUGGCGGCAUGCGACCCUUCGUUAAGGCUCCACCACCGCGCCAGCCCAGCAGCCAGCCAACGUGGCGCCAUAAUGCCUCAUCAUCUCGGACGCGUGUCGAGGCCAGGCGAGGUGGCGACAGCUGGGAUGUGCUUCCCUGGCAUCCCCGAUAAAGCAAGGAGGGCACGUCGGCAGCGCGUUAUCCUACGGUCCAAGAGGAUAGGAUUGUCAACUGUAGACCUUUUCACCUCCUGUGUGCCACUGUGGCAACCCCUUUUUCUUAUAAAAGAAGGCCCGAGGAGACCAGGAGAGGGAUUCGGCUCAUUUGGGCAAGUUGCACCCCGUAGCUAGCUCAAGAACACAAGAACACUCAAAUACAUCCACCAAAGCAGGACUAGGGUAUUACGCAUCUUCGCGGCCCGAACCUAGGUAAACGAUCCGUGUGCUUCCUGUCAGACCCGCUCUUCGCACAACCCCGCACCCGCCAACCAUAGAAGGGAUCCCGGUGACCCCAUAGGUGUCGUUUCCACCGACAACCAGUCUCCCAGUCGUAGACUACUCCGAGACGAUGCCCCCAAGGAGGAGAAAGACGUGAAGACGCCUCCAUCGCCCGAUCCGGAGGAUUUGAGGUUUCCCUCCGGAGCCAAAGCUAUGGGGAGUAGGAGCGCACCUCCAUGAUGAUGCUUCCAAGAAAGAUCGCGGCACCCGCGGGCACCGCCGUCGCUGGCUCCGGUGGAGACCGAAGCAAGGAUUUCUCCCGGAGAUGUGCCUACCACCCGCCACCACUGACCGCUGCCAACAAACCACGACCCCUACCGAGGCCGACCUCACUCAGGCCACGUGAUCCCACGAUCCACCGCGACCAGAAACGCAACACCCCCCAGCCGAAGCCACCGUCCACCACCGCAGCACCACCGUGACUACCACCACUGCAGCAACCAACGCCGCAUUGGGAUGCGUAGCACCAAGAUUGAAGCACAACCUCCCACCAGAUCCAAAGACAAGCAUGUUCUCCCUCCGCAGCACACCGUGCACUCCAGAGCAGCAUACCCACCAUGCCGAGCCGCCGGUCGCCACGCCCAACACGCGCCAGCCGCCGCCGCGCCCGGCCGUCGAUUUGCACCCCACGCACACUCCCAGAGCCGAGCCGCCGCUGAGCGCAUGCGUGCCAUCCAUGCCCAGGCCACGCCGGGAGCCCGGACCGAGGUCGUCGCCCCGGCGCCCCACCCGCCAAGCACCACUUUUGGAUCUGACGGUAGAACGGACGGCAAGCUAGGUAGCCCCGAUGCCAAUGAAGGCUGACCGGAGGUCAGCAACCACGGACGCGAAGGAAGGAGGCGAAGGGAUGGACGGGACACCACCCAAACGGAAGCUGGAGCAGCCUAGAUGCCGCCCGUCCGAUUCGCUCCCCCAGCACUCGAUCUGGACCACAAGGUCCAGAUCCGCGACGCCCGCACUGGGGGAACCCCAGCCAUAGCUGCACCUAGUUGGAGCAAUCAUCGAGCAUCGCCACCCCAUCCAUCGCUCCACACCGCCCCUAGGACCAGCACUGCGUGGCUCGGGCUCGCCUACGAACACCGAGGCACGAGCAGGAAGUGCCCCGCCGCCGCCGUCCGUCGCGCAGGCUUCACCUGACGACCUCCUCUGGCGGCAGCGAGGUGGCCGACGGAUCUAGUGGGGCGAGCUACGGUGGGGAAAGGGACCGCAGGCCAAUUAGGCCAGUGCAUGCCGUGCGCAGCCCAGGAUGCCCGUCCUGAGGUGGAAGGGGUGCGGGCGGAGGUGGGCUGCUCUGCGAGGCCCAGGCCUGGCCCGUCUGUAGCGCGGCCAGUACUUAACUGGCUAUGGAUCCGUCGGGGCACCUCAGACAGCUCGUUAGGGUUUCCAGCCACUCCAUCGGAGGUGCGGCGCUUCGGUGGAUCCGCACGCUCUCUCUCCCCCCUCUCCUCCCCCACCUCUCGAUCGAUCCUUCGUCGAGGUCGUUGCCAUGGGUUCCAAGGCAGAUCGGCGUGUGGACAAGCGGGCGGAGACGGAUCCGGAGGAGGAGCAGCGUCGCGAGCGAGAUCUGUGCACCCAAGCGAAGGCGCGUGCGGCGGAGCGCGCCGGUGAGGAGGGUGGUUGGGGGCCUCCCCCUCCCUGGUGGCUCAAGGAGCAGGAGUGGAAGAAGAAAAAGAAGGAGGAAUACAAGAAGAAGGGGUUGGAGCUCAAGCGCAAGGAAUCGCUCCACCCCUACAGCGGCGACCGCGUCGGCGAUUGCUUCACCAAGCAGAAGCAGAAGAAGCACAAGCCGGGGAUGCCGGCGGCCUCCAAGCCCCCUCCUCCUAGGGCACGACGGCGGAUCCCAUCCCCGUCGAGGAGGCGGAGGGGCAAAUUAAAGCCAUGAAACAAGUAGCUGGCAAAUCCAAAUUGGAACUAGCUCAAUUCGCAGAGUGACAAGCCUAUUAUUCGCCGGAGUGCUUCAGAUGUGGGCGUACGGGCCACUACCAGAACGAGUGCUCCUUCAAGCAGCUCUGCGUGCUUUGCAGCAAGGAGGGCCACACAUCGGCCUACUGCCCCACGCACGGCAAGCAGUUGGUGCUCCAGACCAUGGGCCACGCAUUCGCUGGUGGCGGCUUCUUCUGCCUGCAGUACCCCGAGGAGGCCGAUGCGGUGGAGGCGGGUUUGCUGGGCCCUAACACGGCCCUGGUGUCGGUGGCGCCCGGCGUGCUGACCAAGGAGAUCCCGGAAGCGGAGCUCCCUCAUCUCUUCGAGGGAGAGUGGGACUGGUAGGUGGCACCUUUCGACGUGGACUGUUUCUCCAUGGCCUUCCCAGAUCCGGUCAUGUUGAGGAUGGCGAUGCGUAGUGGCAAACUUUUCCUCUCCAUCAACAACAUCACGGCUGACAUCCGCGACGUGAUCCUUGCUGAGCCCAAGGCGCUGUCCAUGGCGGAAGUGUGGAUGAAGAUGUGGGGCAUCCCCCCGAAGCAGCGUGCGUGGAGCGUCUGAUGGCGGCCACGACCAUGAUUGGCCGGCUGCUGGUGGUGGAUGAGCUAUCGCUGAUCCGCUCGUGCCCGGUGCGCAUGCGUUUUGAGUGCCGUGCGUCGUCCAAGCUUCGUGGAUCCGUGCAAAUCUGGUUCAAUGGCGAGGGCUACAAGAUCAAGCUCGAGCUGGAGAUGGACCAACCUCGCGAGGCGGCUCCUGCCCUCCCACCCCCUCCCCCUCCUCCCAGCGGUCGUGGUCCGGGUGACCAAGAUAAGGACAAGCACAAAGACAAGGACCAAGAGCAUGAUGCCAGCAUGGAGGAGGACGACUCCAUCGACACGGUGGCGUGGGACAAGCUUGGGAUUUCUGCGUCGGGCCCUGGUGCACCGGUGGAGGGGGCGGCGGUGCAGUGGGCUGAUGUGGAGUUGGGGUCUGCGGGGAUGACGCUCUCGAUCCCCAACCAGUACGGGUCAAACCUGGGGUCGGUAUCUUCAACUCCCAUGUGUGCGGCCCCUGCUGCGUCUGUCGUGGUUCUAAGUCUGACAGUAGUGUAGGGGGGUAAGUAUGGAGAGGCAAGAUCUUAGCUAUGGAGAAGUUGUAAGCACGCAAGGUUUACGAGUUCAGGCCCUUCUCGGAGGAAGUAAUAGCCCUAUGUCUCGGAGCCCGGAGGCGGUCGACUGGAUUGUGUGAGUAUGAGUUACAGAGGUGCGAACCGUUGUCUCGGAGGAGGGGGGUGGCUUAUAUAGAGUGCGCCAGGACCCCGGCCAGCCCACAUUACAAAGGGUUCAAUGUACAUUAAGGCAGGGCAUUACUGGUAACACUAGUAAUAAAGUGCUAUGAUGACCAUAAAAGCUACUUAAUGACCGACUGUUAGCAUGCGGGGUGACUUUAGGUCUCCUGGCCGUCGAGUGGUUGGAUCUUAGUCGAGUGAUUGCUUCUUGGUCAAGUGUCUUCGAGUCUGUCGAGUGGAACACCUCCAAGUCGAUUGAAAGGUGAUUUCUUCUAGAGAUGUCCUUGGGUAGGGCAGUUAGGACAGGUCCAUGACCCUACCCUAGGUACAUAGCUUCAUCAUUAGCCCCCGAAUGGAUCGAGGUUUGAGUGGGGAAAGAGUUGAGGACCUCUCUGACUCGUUUUUCAUGUCGUGAGCAUAUCUUAUUCCGGAUCAACGAACCUGAGUGAUGACAGCAACUUCCUUUUCAGUCGCCUUGAUCCAUUCUUAAUUCUUCGUUGAGUGAGUUUCUUUACCUGUGAGGCUCCGAGUGACGGUGCGGAGGAGAUCUUUUAGUCUGACAAGUUUGUUUGCUGCCCGUAGAUUUCAUGGGAUCUGAAUUUUGGGAAGCACGCGGGACGGGGGAGGCCGCAGUAAUCGGAUGGGAUAGAGCGGAGACGCCUCGAUCCCCGUGCUGCCUUUUUCGUCACAUACCGCGCGCGCGAUCGUUACGGGAUUUGACAGAGCCACCUGGGCCUACCCGUCAGCCACUCGAAAGCGGCCUCAUAUAAGGCGUUGGACCGGAGUCUCCCGAACAGUGCGUUCCCAUUUCCUCUUCUCCUCUUCAUGCCCCUCCGAUGCGCUCGCUCUCGCCCCAGCAUCACCGCUCCGUAUGCGUCUCGCCGCGACAAUGGGGAAGGAGAAGACGGCGGCUCUGGAGCAGGCAAAGAAGGCGACGGCGAGGUCGAGGGGGAAGGCGACCAGCCGGGGCGGAUCUUCCUCGCGGACCGGCCUGCCGAAGGGCUGGAUCCACUCGAGGAUCACCCAAGAAGACCUCGACAACCUGGCCGAAGAGGGGCUGAUCCCCUAUGACUCGGCGCGGCUUCCGGGGAAGGAAUCUAAGCCGCAACCUCGGGAGGGUGAGCGUGUUCUUCUUGCCACCCACGUCGACCGUGGAUUUUCCUUGCCUCCUCACCCUUUCUUUCGAGGGUUUCUGAACUUCUUUGGGGCACAACUCCACCAUUUUACCCCCAACUCAAUCCUUUGUCUCGCCGCUUUCAUUUCUUUGUGUGAGAAUUUCCUGGGUUGCCGGCCUCACUGGGGUCUUUUCAAGCAUAUUUUCACUUGUCGCUCCCAGACAGUGAAAAAGGCUAAUCCGAGUGAUGAGAGGACCCAAGUGAUCCAGAUGUGUGGGGGUCUUGGCAUCUAGACAAGAGGGAAAAGCUCCUUUCCGGCCAUGAUUCUUCCUGACUCAGUUCGCGGAUGGCAGUCGACCUGGUUUUACUGUAAAGACCAGUCGACGCCAGGGCAAUUGACUGGCCCCCCUCCCUUUACCAUGGACCAAGUGGAGAAACCCUCCCCUUUGAAGGUGCUCCCGGAGGAGAAGGCGCACGUGAAGCUGUUGGUCGAUCCAGUGGUCCAGCAUAUUCGUGACGGGGUUACUGGUAUGGAUCUCUUGGAGGUCUUCCUUCAGCGGCGCAUCCAGCCUCUUCAAGCUCGAGACCAUUCGAAAUGGAUGUAUUCGGGUCUUGAAGACUCCACUCGGAUCCACCCGGAGGAGGUCGAUGACGACACACUUGAGAAGUGGCUGUCGGGCAUUACCGGGAACAAGGACAAUCCCAGGGGAGCUAGGAGAGUUCCCCCUUUCGACCAGUCUCAUGCACCAGAGCAGGUCUGAUUCUGAGUUUUUGCUUGUAAUCUGAAUUUACUCGCGAAGCUGCCUAUAUUGCGUCGACUGACUUUGUUCCCCCUACUUCCUUUCAGGCCAUUAUUGAAAUGUAUUCAAUGCCCAACGGGGAGCAAGAGCAAGUACUGGAAGGCGAGGCGAGUGGCGGCGACAGUGGCGAGUGAACUUCCGAUGGUGAAGGGGAUGGAGGAAGCGAUGAAUCAAGUGAUGGAGAAGAAGUCGAGUCGCCCCCUCGCUGGGAGAGGCGAUCCAAGCUCGAACAAGAACGGCCGAGUGCCCGCGACAAGGCAACUACUCAGGCUGGUCAGUCUUCGAAGCGUCCUCGGAUCUCUUCACCAACCCCGACUGAGAAGGCGCCAAAGCACCUCAAAGUUGUAGAGUCGAGGACUCGGAAGGCGUUGCCGAAGAUCAAGAUUGAUAUCCCCGUUGCCUCCGCGUGAGUGUCUCUCUUUGUAUUCACUCGAUGCUCCACGUUGUUUGUUUUUCUUCUUUUAACUGGACGAACUUUCGAAUUGUCAGUGCUGCCACUUCCGAGACCUCAUCUUACAGGGAUGAUGACGAGGUGAUGGAGGAUGCGGUCACUUCUAAUCCGGGUAUGAUUUCUGCCAUACUAUCUUUAUUCGGUCGAUUCAACUGCAAUGUGCCUCAUUGGGUGACGCGAUUUUGGCAAUUGAACUUUGCACAACUCCCAACAUUAUUGACCUCCCUGAUGAUGAUGAAGAGUCCAAGAGGCCUUUGACGAGGAAGAAUAGGCGAGCUCCUGUAAGUGAGGCGCUACAAUCGACGCCGAGGGCGGAGCCAGUCGUUCAGGACACUGGCGACAUCAAUCGGGGUUCUGUUACCUUCGCCGAGCCACUGUCGAGUGCCUUGCCUUCUUCGUUGACUGCUCGAGCCCCUGUCGACCUGCCUUCACUUUUUGCGACCCAUCAUGUCCCGGAGGACGAGGUGAAUGCUUCUAGGGAAGCCAUACGCCAGGCGGGCAUUAUGAUGGAGAAGAUGAAGAUGGUGCGGGACGCCAUCCAAGCCGCCUAUGAUGCCAGCUCGGCUCUCCAGAGCAACGUUUAGGUUAGUUCGUCGCCGCUUGUUCUGUUAGGAUAUGCUACCUGAAGAUUCUUUCCGAAAACCUUUGCAUCUGUACACCCACUGGGUGCGUCGAUUGAAUUUUUGGACUAGUGGGGGCACGCUGAGUGCACCCACUGGGUGUAGUCCCCGAGACUAUGGUGGACUGCUGGCAGUCGACUGUAGUCUUCGUAUUUUGCCGAAUGUAUAAAUCAAACUGGUAGUUUGUCUCUUCCACUCGGUCUGGUCGAGUGGGAUCAGAACCGGUGGGGGUACACUAAGUGCACCCACUGGGUGUAGUCCCCGAGACUAUGAUGGACUGCUGGCAGUCGACUGUAGUCUGAGUUCUACUUUCUCUCUUUCUGCCUUUUUUUUGGACUCGACUUCGGCGGGCCGGUCGAGUGGGAUCAGAACCGGUGGGGGCACACAAAGUUCACCCACUGGGUGUAGUCCCCGAGACUAUGGUGGACUGCGGGAAGUCGACCGUAGUCUUAGUAUUUAUUGCCUUUGUUGUUUUUUGCUGUAAAAAUAACUUCUUCCCUUUGAUUUCAGAAAUCUUGUGAUCUUGGAGCUCACUUUGCAGACUUGGAGAAUCAGCAGAUUCAACUGAACCUUGACUUGGAGCUGGCCAGGACAGAGCUGCAAAAGGUCAGAUACGGCGCCGCAGGUAAGACGAGUUUGUCGACUGGUCAGUUUUAGGCUUGAGUACCAUUCUGCUAUUUCUGAAUCAAUCAUCAUUUCUUUGCAGAAAAACUGAGAGAAGCUCUGGCGAAGAAGGAUCAGGAUUUGGCCGCUGCUCGUAAGGAGGCUGACGACAAGACCGCUCUGGCCGAACAGAAGCUGGUUUCGGUCGGCCGGUUGGAAGAAGAGAAUACCAGGCUGAAGAACGCUCUGAAUGACUCCAACAAGGAGUGCUUGCGCUGGAAGAAGGAGAAUCUCAUCCAGGGCGAGAAAAUGGAAGGUAUUUCUCGCAGGAGGGAUGAUCUGGAGAGCUAUCUGAGAAGUCUUGCCAUUAAGUUAUUCAUCAAGCUUGAAGGUGCACAUUCUGUUCUGACUUAUUUUUUUGUGUCGACUCAGUGUACGAAAAUUGAAUUAUCCUUGGAUUUUGAAUGCAGAGUUUUGCCAGAACUCAGAAGAGGAGACUGGGCGGAUCGAACCAGGUUUAGAUCCAAUCAACUCUCCCGUGAAAGAUGAAACUGCCAUGAAUCUGCUCCGUUUGGAAUCUCGCAUCGACAGUGCCGUGGACUACUUGGCUCGACUGAAGGUUGCCAUGUCGCGGAUUGACCCGGCACUUUGGCCAGAGGCUGUGCUCCAAAAUGAUAUUGAGUCCCUGAUGACUCGACUAACUGAAAUCCUCGACCGAGUGCAGGAGUAGAAGAAGUCUGCUGCUCGGUGUGGCGCUGACGUGGCUCUGUCUUUCGUUCGUGUCCGCUGCAAGGAGGUGCGACAGGACAAACUAGCAGCAAUCAAGGUCGCCAACACCCAGAAGCAUGACUUCCGAACCUUUAUGGAGACUUUCAUCGCUGCAGCCACUCGGAUAGCCGACGGCGUCGACCUGGAUGAGUUCGUCGAGCCUGCCAGCCCUCCUCCCGCAGAGUGAACAAACUCUUAUGGCUCACCUUAAAUUUGCCUCGGAAUGCCGAGUGGUUUUUGUAACCGUUAAACUUUUUUGGGCUGCAUGCCCGAGUACUUCGAUCUAUGAUCUGGAACCUUUAGAAUUUACCUGAACUUGGUUUACCGUUGAAUAUCUUUAUGAAUCUCCUGCUGAGUGAACCCAUUCUUCAUUCGAUACAACUUUUGUAUUCGCAGCGCAGCGUUGAAGGAGAGGGAAGCAGUUGACCCAUGUCUUGUACUUGUGGCUAAGCUCCCCAGGGGAAGGCGGCGGUCGACCCACACCCCGUUACUGCAGAGUGGAUGGAACACACAUUGUAUUUGUGGCGAAACUCCCCAGGAGAAGGUGGUAGUCGACCUGACCCUCAUCGUCCUUGAGGAUUGAGAUGUGUUUCGUACUUAGGCAAGUUCUGGACUGCAGCUAAGCCCGAAUGGGAGGAUUGCUCUCCACUCGGUUGGAUUUUUUCAAACUUAGGCGAGUGCCGGAAUGCUAAGUCUCUAAGUGAGAGAACUUAGGCGAGUACUGGACUGCAGCUAAGCCCCCGAGUGGGAGGAUUGCUCUCCACUAGGUAGGAUUUUUUCAAACUUAGGCGAGUGCCGGACUGUAGCUAAGUCUCCAGUGAGAGAACUUAGGCGAGUACUNNNNNNNNNNNNNNNNNNNNNNNNNNNNNNNNNNNNNNNNNNNNNNNNNNNNNNNNNNNNNNNNNNNNNNNNNNNNNNNNNNNNNNNNNNNNNNNNNNNNNNNNNNNNNNNNNNNNNNNNNNNNNNNNNNNNNNNNNNNNNNNNNNNNNNNNNNNNNNNNNNNNNNNNNNNNNNNNNNNNNNNNNNNNNNNNNNNNNNNNNNNNNNNNNNNNNNNNNNNNNNNNNNNNNNNNNNNNNNNNNNNNNNNNNNNNNNNNNNNNNNNNNNNNNNNNNNNNNNNNNNNNNNNNNNNNNNNNNNNNNNNNNNNNNNNNNNNNNNNNNNNNNNNNNNNNNNNNNNNNNNNNNNNNNNNNNNNNNNNNNNNNNNNNNNNNNNNNNNNNNNNNNNNNNNNNNNNNNNNNNNNNNNNNNNNNNNNNNNNNNNNNNNNNNNNNNNNNNNNNNNNNNNNNNNNNNNNNNNNNNNNNNNNNNNNNNNNNNNNNNNNNNNNNNNNNNNNNNNNNNNNNNNNNNNNNNNNNNNNNNNNNNNNNNNNNNNNNNNNNNNNNNNNNNNNNNNNNNNNNNNNNNNNNNNNNNNNNNNNNNNNNNNNNNNNNNNNNNNNNNNNNNNNNNNNNNNNNNNGUACUGGACUGCAGCUAAGCCCCCGAGUGGGAGGAUUUCUCUCCACUCGGUAGGAUUUUUCAAACUUAGGCGAGUGUCGGACUGCAGCUAAGUCUCCAUGUGAGAGAACUUAGGCGAGUACUGGACUGCAGCUAAGCCCCUGAGUGGGAGGAUUUCUCUCCACUCGGUAGGAUUUUUUCAAACUUAGGCGAGUGCAGGACUGCAGCUAAGUCUCCAAGUGAGAGAACUUAGGCGAGUACUAGACUGCAGCUAAGCCCCCGAGUGGGAGGAUUUCUCCCCAUUCGGUAGGAUCUUUUCAAACUUAGGCGAGUGCCGGAUUCGCAGCUAAGCCCCUGAGUGGGAGGCUGGCUCGCCACUCGGUAGGAAACUGUUUUUACAAACUUAGGCGAAGCGGAUUCGCAGCUAAGCCACCCACUGGGGGAUUUCUUACACAAACAAAAACAAUAAUAAUCACAGGAAAAAUUAUAAUGCUCUUGUCUUUGAUAAAUAAACUACAGGAGUUUUUCUUAUUACAUCUCAUCCGAGUGAGAAUUCAAGUAUAAAAGGGGUGGAGUAGCUCCGCAUUCCAGGCUCGUGGCUCAUCAAUCUGGCGAUCCACAUUGUAGAUGUGGUAUGCUCCAUUGUGGAGGACUCUGGUGACUAUGAAGGGGCCUUCCCAAGUAGGAGCGGGCUUGUGUGGUUUCUGCUGAUCCACUCGGAGGACUAAGUCUCCUUCUUGGAAGGCUCGGCUCUUCACGUUCUUGGCAUGGAAUCGACGCAAGUCUUGCUGAUAGAUGGUAGAUCGAAUCAAUGCCAUUUCUCUUUCUUCUUCUAGGAGGUUGACUGCGUCCUACCGGGCUUGUUCUGCUUCAUCUUCUGAGUAGAGCUCGACUCUGGGAGCGUUGUGAAGCAGGUCACUCGGUAAGACUGCCUCGGCUCCGUAGACCAGAAAGAAUGGGGUUCUUCCGGUCGAUCGAUUCGGGGUUGUCCUCAAUCCCCAAAGGACUGGUGGAAGCUCGUCGACCCAUGCACCUGCUGCGUGCUUGAGAUCGUGCAUCAAUCGGGGUUUCAGUCCUUUGAGAAUUAGGCCGUUUGCCCUUUCUGCUUGCCCAUUCGACUGGGGGUGAGCGACCGAAGCAUAGUCGACCCAAGUGCCCUGAGAGGCGCAAAAGGACCUGAAUUUGUCGGAAUCGAAGUUUGACCCGUUGUCGGUGAUGAUGCUGUGUGGAACUACAUAUCUGAAUAUCAACUCUCUGAUGAAACUGAUAGCGGUUCAAGCAUCAAGAUUCUUGAUAGGCUUGGCUUCAAUCCAUUUGGUGAACUUGUCGACUGCUACCAGCACAUGAGUGAAGCCUCUCCUACCUGUUCUCAGUGGUCCAACCAUGUCCAACCCCCAAACAGCGAAAGGCCAGACAAGUGGAAUGGUUUUCAGGGCUGACGCGCGCUUGUGCGGCAUAUUGGAGUAAUACUGACAUCCUUCACAUUUGUCGACUAUCUCUUUGGCCAUCUCAUUGGCUCUUGGCCAGUAGAACCCCGCUCGGUAUGCUUUAGCCACAAUGGUCCGAGAGGACGCAUGAUGACCACAGGUCCCCGAGUGGAUAUCGUUAAGGAUCAUCUGACCUUCUUCUGGUGUAAUACACUUCUGGCCGACCCCAAUCGCGCUUUCUCUAUAUAACUGUCCCUUUAUGACUGUAAAGGCCUUGGAUCGACAGACGAUCUGUCGAGCCUCUUCUUUGUCUUCUGGGAGUUAUUUCCUUAGGAUGUACGCGAUGUACGGUUCUGUCCAGACGGGAGUGAUAACCAAGACUUCCAUGAUCAGGUCGACCACAUCUGGAACUUCAACUUCAGUCGUAUCCGUGGCACUUUUUGGCUGCGGGGCCUCUUCAGUGAAGGGAUCCUCCUGGACUGAUGGUGUUUGGAUGUGUUCCAAAAACACAUUGCUGGGAAUGGCUUCUCUUUUGGAACCUAUUUUUGCCAGAUCAUCAGCUGCUUGAUUUUUCAGUCGGGGUAUGUGAUGAAGCUCUAACCCCUCGAAUUUCUUCUCCAGCUUUCUCACUUCAUUGCAAUAACCAGUCAUGGCUGGACUUCUGAUGUCCCAUUCCUUCAUCACUUGAUUGACCACCAAAUCUGAGUCGCCGAGUGAAAGGGCCAUGCGCAACCCAUAUAAAAGUGCUUCUUAUUCUGCCUCGUUGUUAGAGGAAUCAAAGUGUAUUUGAAGAACAUAUCUGAGUUUAUCUCCUCUGGGGGAGACCAACACCACUCCGGCUCCGGAACCAUUUAGCAUCUUGGAACCGUCAAAGAACAUGGUCCAAUGCUCCGAGUGAACCUGAGUCGGCAGUUGUUGUUCAAUCCACUCGGUGACGAAAUCCGCGAUUGCCUGGGACUUGAUAGCUUUCUUUGCCUCAAACAUGAUAUCUAGAGGAAGAAGUUCAAUCGCCCAUUUUGCCACUCGACCAGUUGCGUCCCUGUUAUGCAAGAUCUCUGACAACGGAGCAUCGCUGACGACUAUAAUGGAAUGAUCAGAGAAGUAGUGGGCAACUUUCUUUGUGGUCAUGUAAAUCCCAUAUACGAGCUUCUGAUAAUGAGGAUAUCUUUGCUUCGAUGGGGUCAAGACUUCAGAAAUAUAAUACACUGGGCGCUGAACUUUGAAGGUUUUCCCUUCUUCUUCCCGCUCGACCGUAAGUACUGUACUGACAACUUGUCCUGUGGCUGCAAUGUAAAGCAGCAAAGGCUCCUUGUUGAUUGGGGCAGCAAGCACCAGCUGGGUGGAGAGGAGAGCUUUGAGCUGUGCGAACGCUGCGUCAGCUUUAGGAGUCCACUCGAACUUGUCAGACUUCUUCAUCAAUCGGUAAAGAGGCAAUGCCUUUUCACCGAGACAAGAUAUUAAUCGACUUAGGGCGCCAAGCAACCAGUAAGCUUCUGAACAUCGUGCACUCGCACAGGUCUUUUCAUUCAGAGUAUAGUACCGACUUUUUCUGGAUUGGCGUCGAUUCCCCGUUCGAAAACAAGAAAACCGAGUAACUUUCCGCCAGGAACCCCAAAUGUGCAUUUUGAUGGAUUAAGCUUGAUAUCAAACCUUCUGAGGUUGGCAAAGGUUUGAGCAAGGUCAGUCAGCAGGUCGGAACCCUUCCAUGACUUGACCACAAUAUCAUCCAUGUACGCCUCCACAUUCCGACUAAUUUGGGUGAGCAAACACUUCUGAAUCAUCCUCAUGAAUGUGGCUCCGGCAUUCUUGAGGCCGAAUGGCAUGGUAAGAUAACAGAAGCACCCGAAUGGAGUGAUGAAAGCUGUUUUGAUUUCGUCAGGCCCAUACAGACGGAUCUGAUGGUACCCGGAAUAGGCGUCUAAAAAAGACAGUCGCUCACAUUCCGAGUCGACUAUCUAGUCAAUGCGGGGGAGAGGAAAAUGAUUUUUCGAACAGGCCUGAUUGAUAUGUUUAAAGUCAAUGCACAUGCGCAGUGACUUGUCCUUCUUGGGGACCAUGGCAACAUUGGCAAGCCACUCAGAGUGGUAGAUUUUUCGGAUGAACUCCGUCGCUAAGAGCCGAGCCACCUCUUCGCCAAUGGCCUUUCUCUUCUGGACGGCGGACCGUCGGAGAUGUUCCUUGACAGGUUUUACUUUUGAGUCGACUCUUAGGCGGUGCUCAGCCAGCUCCCUGGGAACACCCGGCAUGUCAGAGGGCUUCCAUGCGAAAAUGUCCCAGUUCUCAUGGAGGAACUGGAUGAGCGCUUCUUCCUAUUUGGAGUCGAGUGUUGUUGAGAUAUGAGUUGGAGCAGCGCUGGGGUCGGUCGGGUGGAUAUGAGUUGUCUUUGUAUCGCCAGUCGACUGAAAAGCUGACUCCGUAGCGGGCUUCUUGGCUCGCAACAAGUCACUCGGGUCUGCAGUCUUCUGGUAUUCCUGCAACUCCACCACUGCCGUCUGAGCAUCGGCGAUCUUCGAAACUUUUUAAAAACAUUCUUCCGCUUUCUUCCGAUUGCCCGUAAUAGUGAUCACACCUUUGGGGCCAGGCAUCUUCAAUUUGAGAUACACAUAACACGGUCGGGCCAUGAAGCGUGCAUAAGCCAGCCUGCCCAAAAUAGCGUGGUAGGCACUCUGGAAGUAUACAACUUCAAAUAUCAACUUCUCUUUGCGGUAAUUCUUGGAAUCACCGAAAACCACAUCAAGAACAAUCUACCUGAGUGAUUCAGCCUUCUUCCCAGGAAUGACUCCAUGGAAACUCAUGUUGCUGGCAAUGAGUCUGGACAUCGGAAUGCCCAUCCCUUUCAACGUCUCAGCAUACAAUAUGUUCAAACCACUGCCACCAUCCAUCAAGACUUUGGUCAGUCGAGUGCCUUCAACCACUGGGUGGACCACCAGAGCUUGCCUCCCAGGGGUGGCAAUAUGCGUUGGGUGAUCGGACUGGUCGAACGUGAUGGCAGUCUGGGACCAUUUCAAAUAACUUGGUGUCGCCGGAGCAACCAUAUUCACCUCUCGGUUGAUGACUUUCAGUUGACUUUUGCUCUCAACAUCAGCAAAAAUAAUCAAGGUGGAAUUGACUUGCGGGUAUCCGUCGUCACUGUCCUCUUUGUCCUCGACCUUGUCUGACUCCUUUUCCUUACCUUUGGGCUUCUUGCCCUGGAACUGCCGGAUCAAGAGUCGACACUAUCGAGUGGUAUGUUUCGGGUAAAUGAAAUUACCCUCUUCAUCUUUCUUUAUGUGGACGAGACAUGGCAAGUCCAACACGUCAUUUCCAUCCUCGUCUUUAACCCUUUUGGGGUUCCAAGGCUCUUUAGGUUUCCCUUUAAACUUUCCUUGGGUUAAAGACAAGGCUUCCCCGGGAGCUACUGGCUCGGCUUUCCGCUUCUGUUUCCGAUUGGAAUUGCCUCCGGUUUCAUGGGCGAUUGACUUGAGCUUGCCACUCCUGAGUCGAUCCUCAUCUUCACCAUUAGCGUACUUGGUGGCAAUCUCCAUCAUCCGAUUCAGGGACAUAUCCCCGGUUCGACCGAAUUUCAAAUUGAGUUCUCUGUACUUGACGCCUUCCUUGAAGGCACAAACUACUUGGUGGUCAGGCACAUUCUCCACCGAGUGGUGUAACGUGAUCCACCUCUGGAUGUAAUCCCUCAAAGUUUCAUUUGGCUUCUGUACGCAAGACCGCAGUUCCGUCAGCCCUGCCGGUCGCUUGCAUGUGCUUUCAAAUGUGGUGACAAACACUCGGGAGAGAUCUUCCAAAGUGUAAAUGUUGCUAGGUGCUAACUGGUUCAGCCACGCUCUAGUCGAGCCCUCCAACAUGAGAGGCAGGUGCUUCAUGGCCACUUCAUCAUUGCCGCCGCCAAUCUAGACGACCACUCGGUAGUCCUCAAGCCAUGUAUCGGGCUUGGACUCACCAGUGAACUUACUGACUCCAGUCGCCAACCUGAAGUUGGGAGGAAUCAUAGCGGCCCUGAUGGCUCUAUUAAAGCACUCUGGACCCGAAGCAUGUACUCUGCUGCUGGUAGGUGCAUCUCUGUCGUGACCUUCUCGGUGAGCCCUGUUCCUGUCGACCAAACCCUGGACGAGAAUGGAUCUCGCAUCAAAGCCUGGCCCUCUGGGGUCGACUGGAAUCCUUCGCCCACCACUAUGAGGGCGCCUGUCAUCCUGCUGGCAAGGCACAUACGACCCGCUCCUCGGGGGAGGCGUGGGCACUCGACGUCGACCGUCAUGAUCGACUCGGUGAUCAUACUGCUCAUGGUUCCCAUACUGGUCACGCCGUCUCCACGUCCCUCACGCCUCGGGGGCGAUCUCGGGCUGUGAGCCAACUGGACUGUGUCCGCGGCAACGGAUUUGCUGUGAAUCCUGUUCCCUGACUGAGAAACAACGGAAUUAUGAUCUCUUGCUGCUCGGAGUAACGCUCUGAUCUGCAGCAAGCCUCUGCCAACCUCCGACUGGGAAGGCUGAAUCGACUCCGCUAUACGGGCCGCAACUGCUAAAUUCUGAAUCAGAGUUUGAUAUACCUGCGGGGGCGGGAAGAGCUGACGCCGACUGGAUUCGGGAACCCGUUGUCGUGCACGCUCGUCGAGUGCUCGCUGGAGGUUCUCCAGUCGAGUGCGCUCGGCCAAGUUUGCCAGGCGCGCGUCCUCCAAGGCGCGAGCCUCGGGGAUUUCUCCAACGAUAGGAGUGUGCAGUGCAUCCACGUUCCGGCGGCGAAGUUCUUCUCUGUGCAGCGACGUGAGAGGCUUGAGAAGAUACUCCUCAUGGAGACGUGACGGGUCGCCUCCACCCGCGCCUCCGUCGGUGCGGGGAAACCCGGGAGGACUGGGCGGUCCAUCGACCAUCAGAACCUCCGCCGCCGGAUCGCUGUUGUCGCACUCGGAUGCGGUCUUUGCGGAGCCAGCCGACAGGUUGAACAGGCCGUAGAGGGAUUCGUCGGGCUCGAUCGCCGUGACUUGGGGGGUGGCCGACUGAUGUGCCACCGCAUGCCUCACCCACCGCUGACGUACGCCGGCUGGAAACGGGGAGGGAGGAUAACACAGGAGCCGACUGGUAGGGGGUCGACGGUUGCCGCAGGAGAACGCCGCGGACGCACGCGCUAAAGUGCCUUGCCCCGCGAGCAGGGAGUGCGUCUACGUCGAGAGGAGCCUCCUGGAGCCAAGCAGAGUCAUCGACGAUGAACGUGAGCACGCCAAGACGGAUCGCGCGGCCCUCCACCAAACCUCCGCCGAAAACCAUGAUGAUUCGGGUCGGAAAAGGUCGCAACUCCUCCAACAAACGCUAAAACACCGGUCCCACGGUGGGCGCCAACUGUCGUGGUUCUAAGUCUGACAGUAGUGUAGGGGGGUAAGUAUGGAGAGGCAAGAUCUUAGCUAUGGAGAAGUUGUAAGCACGCAAGGUUUACGAGUUCAGGCCCUUCUCGGAGGAAGUAAUAGCCCUACGUCUCGGAGCCCGGAGGCGAUCGACUGGAUUAUGUGAGUAUGAGUUACAAAGGUGCGAACCCUUGUCUCAGAGGAGGGGCGGCUUAUAUAGAGUGCGCCAGGACCCCGGCCAGCCCACGGUACAAAGGGUUCAAUGUACAUUAAGGCGGGGCGUUACUGGUAACGCUAGUAAUAAAGUGCUAUGAUGACCAUAAAAGCUACUUAAUGACCGACCGUUAGGGUGCGGGGUGACUUUAGGUCUCUUGGCCGUCGAGUGGUUGGAUCUUAGUCGAGUGAUUGCUUCUUGGUCGAGUGUCUUUGAGUCUGUCGAGUGGAACACCUCCAAGUCGAUUGAAAGGUGAUUUCUUCUAGAGAUGUCGUUGGGUAAGGCAGUUAGGACAUGUCCAUGACCCUACCCUAGGUACAUAGCUUCAUCAGCGUCUGCGGGUGUGGGCGGUGGCCGAUCCCCGCUCGAUCUCUCCCCCAACCCCUCGCGUCUCCGCCCGGUCGGGUCCCCUGCCUCUGGUGGCCGCGGCUCCACCGUGAGCGGCUCGGUGAAGCCGAUGAAGAAGUUGGCGGUUCGCAAGGUCACCGCGGAGGCAGUGCGCGAUGGAAUCUCUGGGGGCGCCCCCACUCCACGACAGUUUGUCAUGGCGUUGGCGGCCCCGACUGUGCCACCCUCCGCUGACCCACUGCUGCAAGAGGCCGCCAAGACGGUGAUGAUCUCAAAGGCCAAGCGCACCAAGACAGUGCCGGCGGCGCUGGUGAGCACUAGCUCGUGGUCCAAGGGAGCCAAGGGAAACAUGUCGUCGCUGUAGCGGGCGCAACUCCUUCAAGCGCAGAAGAAUAUGGAGAUCUCAGGUAAUCCACCGCUCCGCUUCACGGUUGUUGAUUCCUUUUCGGAUGAUCAUUCGCAUGAGGUGUUGGACGCGAGUGGAGUUGACCCUUCGUGUGUGUGUGGGGGGAGUCAGAGAGCUGAUUUUGCUCGUUCACGCCAAGGCGUCGGCGCUGGCAGCGCUCGCGGCUUCUGCGGCAGCGCUUGCUGAACAGAGGUCCGGUGAACCCGGGAGAGGGGUCACCGCUGCUCUAUCUAUGCCCGAAGAGGGGGGUCGGGCAACAGGGGCUGCCCCCUCUCCCUCGCCUUUGUAGGGGCAAGGUGAGACGCGUGGCAAAGGCGGUCACCUCGAGGGGUGUCCGGCUACGUAACCGCGUCAUCUAUGUGUGAUCCCUGUUCUGGAAUAUUCGUGGUUUCUGCCACCCGGGGCGACUUAACCAACUUAAGGAAUAUGUGCGCAGAGAGGACGUCGAUAUCGUAGGAUUACAGGAAACAAUCAAUGAGGACUUUCGUUUUCAUGAGUUGCUCUCUCUAGACCCGUUAGAACGGUUCGAGUGGCAGCAUGUUCCUGCAGUUGGGCAUUCGGGUGGAAUGCUGUUGGGCUUAAGUCGCAACUUGUAUGAGAUUAUCGACUAGGAUAUUGGUUCGUUUUUCAUUGCCGCACACUUUCGCAUUCGGGCUUCGCUUCGCGAGUUAGUAGACAUACAGGUCUACGGACCGGUGGACCAAUCGCGAUUGGUGGAGUUCUUGGGAGAACUCCAAGACAAAGUCACCACGGUGACCGCGGCGGCGCUCCCUGUCCUGGUGGGAGGGGAUUUCAACCUGAUCAGGUCGGGAGCGGAUAAGAAUAAUAGUAACAUAAACUGGCCUCAGGUGGCAUGUUUAAUACUGCUAUUGCGUCUAUGGCCCUAAGGGAGGUGGCCAGGUCGGACGCAAGGUUCACAUGGACAAACAAACAACUAGACCCGGUCCGUUUGGUGCUGGAUCGAGUGUUCAUGUCACCUGAGUGGGAAAUGGGCUUCCCCCUUUGUACUUUGGUUGCAGAGAAUCACAUUGGUUUUGACCAUGUACCGCUUGUUUACUCCUCGGGGGAGGAUAGGGUGCGGCGCAACCCACGCUUUUUCUUCGAAACGGCCUGGUUCAAAGUGCCAGGCUUUGAGGAGCUCUUUAGGGAGAAAUGGUGGGCAUGCGUUAAUCAAAUUGGGCCCUAGAGGGGCCCGAUGGACUUCUGGAACGCUGUCGGGGGACGACUCAGGGCUAGCCUCAAGGGAUGGGGUGCUAACCUAGGGAGGAAUGAUAAAGAGCACAGAGUCGCGAUCCUAGCGGAAAUCGCAUGGAUUGACGUGCAUGCCGAUGCCCGAUUCUUUUUGGAGCGGGAAUUGGCCCACCGGUAUGACCUAGAGGGGAAGAUCGAGGCGUUCGUACGCGCGGAGGAAGAAUACUGGCGUCGCCGUAGUGGCCAGAAAUGGACACUUAAAGGCGACGCCAAUACCAAGUAUUUCCACGCCUACGCUAAAGGCCGACGUGGGAAGUGCGCAAUUCUUAGCACUACUAGGAAAAGGCUAAUUAGUGGCGCACCUAUUUUUGCCAUUAAUGGCGCACUAUAGGUGCGCCACUAUUACCACACCAGUAGUAACAAAUAGUAAUGGCGCACUAUAUGUGCGCCAUUACUAUCACAGACGCAGCAACUAUAGGUGCACUAUAGGUGCGCCACCUAUAGUGCGCCAUUACUAUGCGUAGCAGUGCGCCAUUACUAUCUGACUUAGUAAUGUCGCACCACAUAGAAGUGCGCCAUUACUAACAAUUUUUUUUCAAUUUUUUUGUUAUUUUCUUAAUCUCGGGUCAUUAUGGCUUAAUCUCGGGUCAAAUCGCACUCCGCGGUCAAACUUCCUGAAAGGUCACCCAUCCUCACACUACUCCAGCCUGAGCACGCUUAGCUUCGCAGUUCUAUCCAACCCCAGCACCAACUCACUUAACAGACACUUGUUGAUAUAUCUAUCAUAUCAAUCCUAUUAAACCUUGUUGAUGUCUAGGACUUUGUUCAUGUUCAUGAGUGUGAUGAAAUUUUGAAAAAAUAUUUCAAACUUCCUGGUCAUAUUACGUAUCAUAUUUUGCAAAAAAAUCCAAAAAAAAUUUGAAACCAAUUUUUUUUCUGUUACUAGUGGUGCACCUAGCAAAUGGUGCGCCACUAGUAAGUUUGAAUUCUUUUUCCAUUUCCCCCCUCUAGAUCUUAAAAGCCCUGUAUCUUUCAUUCUAUUAGGUUUUUGGGGAUUCUGAAAAUCUUGAACAAAGUUUCCCCUGUUCAAUUCGGAUGUAACUUUUCGAGUAGAUGAUUUUUCAUAUAAAAAACUUUUUAAUCCGAGUUCGUAUGCAAAAGUCAUGCCCAUUUUACUAAAUUCUAGAGAGAUUUUGCAAAUAAAGUCGAAAUUCAUAUUUGUAAAUUUUCCCAACAACUAGACCACAUAUCACAUGGGAAACUUAUUUUCUUUUUUUUUUGACAUUUNNNNNNNNNNNNNNNNNNNNNNNNNNNNNNNNNNNNNNNNNNNNNNNNNNNNNNNNNNNNNNNNNNNNNNNNNNNNNNNNNNNNNNNNNNNNNNNNNNNNNNNNNNNNNNNNNNNNNNNNNNNNNNNNNNNNNNNNNNNNNNNNNNNNNNNNNNNNNNNNNNNNNNNNNNNNNNNNNNNNNNNNNNNNNNNNNNNNNNNNNNNNNNNNNNNNNNNNNNNNNNNNNNNNNNNNNNNNNNNNNNNNNNNNNNNNNNNNNNNNNNNNNNNNNNNNNNNACGUGGUGCCCAUUACUAGUUUUUGCAAAAAAAUAAAAAAAUUAAUUGUCAGUAGUGGUGCACCGUGGUUGUGGUGCGCCAUUACUAGUUUGAACUAAUAAUGGCACCCUAUACACUGGUGCGCCAUUACUAGUUUUGAAAAAAAAAAUAAAAAAAAUUGUUAGUAGUGGCGCAGAGAGUGUGUGGUGCGCCAUUACUAGUUAAAAAACUAGUAAUGGCGCACUAUGCCCUGGUGCGCCAUUACUAGUUUUCGAAAAAAAAUAAAAUUUGUUAGUAGUGGCGCACCGUGGGUGUGGUGCGCCAUUAGUGAUAUGGACAUUAAUGGCGUACCUACAUAUGGUGCGCCAUUAAUGUCCAUAUUAGCUAUAGCCCUUUUCCUAGUAGUGUAGGUUGCAAUCGGAACAUGGGCUUCUGUUGUGACAAGAGGACAUCUCUCGCCACAUUUAUGAGUUUUACAUCAACUUGAUGGGGACGUGCGAGGCCUAGAGGGCUGGUUUGCGCGAGGACGUGUGGGAUGCAUCACAACGGGUUUUGGAGUGUCAGAACGACGAGCUGGGGCUCGCGUUCCUCCCCGAAGAAAUUGAUGCUGAUCUGAUGGGUAUGAAAGUGGACACGGCACCGGGCCCGGAUGGGUGGCUGGUUGCUAUGUUUAAGCGUUUCUGGCCUCUUCUUAGAGACCCAAUUUUUGAGAUCUGCAAUGGGUUCAUGCGUGGGAUGGUAGAUAUAGCGCGCCUUAAUUUUGGAGUUUUAUCGCUCAUUUCGAAGGUCCAAGGGGACGACAACAUUAGACAGUUCCAUCCUAUUGCGCCAUUAACAUGCCAUUUAAGAUUUGAGCGAAAGCGUGUGCUACACGGCUAGGACCAAUCGCUCACCGUUCGAUUCACCAUAACCAGAUGUGCAUUUAAUGAAGGCAAUGAGGUGUAUCGAGUUUGUGCCAGUACUACAAGUCCCAGAACACAGACCUCGUCUUCCAUACCUUCAGCAGCGGCUCCGACGCCUUUUUCAUCGCCUUUCCCGGCGCGGGGAACUCCUUCCAGUUUUUCAACAACUCAUCGAUUUCGGCACCGCUCCGCUUACGUGGAGGUCCUCGAUGCUCAGCGUGACCAUUUUAUAGAUCUCCACGGGUCGUCCUGUUCGAGCCAUCUUCGAUGCCCAUGUACACGAUUUUCCCAGACCCGCCAUCUUUCCUUGACGUUAGCUGCUGAGACGUCGUAUCAUCCAUGCACCGCGUGCAUCCGCAAUAUCCAUGGCACACCUGGCCCGCGACAUAUCCGUAACCGAGAUAGUCGUGCACCAUCGUGAUCAGCGUGGCUCCCAUGUAGAAAUACUCGCCUUUGCUGGCGUCCCAUGUCUUGGCUGGUGUUUUCCAUAAAGUGUCUAACUUCUCUUGAAGUAGCCCAGAUACAAAUUAAUAUUAUUUCCUGGUUGUUUCGGCCCUUGAAUAAGCAUGCUCAUGUGAAUGUACUUCGACUUCAUGCACAACCAGGAGGGAGGUUGUACAUCCAUACAAACACGGGCCAUGUGCUAUGGUUGGUGUUCUGGUUGCCAAACGGAUUCAUGCCAUCGGUACACGCGCCGAGCACGAUGAUCCUUGCAUCACAUUCGAAAUACCGAUAGAAGCUGUUGAACGCUCUCCACUGGCUUCCAUGCUUGAUGUGUCUCAACUUUGGAUCAUCUCCAGCGUCGGGCUUCUUCCUAUCCGCGUGCCAGCGCAUUAGCUUUGCUUCCUUGGGAUCUACGAAAUACCGCUGGAGACGGGGAGUGAUCAGUAAGUACCAUACAACUUUCUGGGGACAUUUCUUCCCGGCCUUCUUGUAUCGAGAAGCAUUGCACACUGGACAGCUUGUUUUUUCCGCGUGCUCCAUCCAAUAAAUAUGCAAUAGUUUAUGCAUGCAUGGUAUCUAACAUGCGGCAGAUCAAGAGGGCACAUGAUCUUCUUGGCCUCAUCAACACUAGUAGGACAUAGAUUCCCCGCGGGAAGAACAUCCUUUAGGUACAUGAGAUGCUCAUCGAGGCUAGUGUCGGUCCAUUUGUUUUUAGCCUUCCGUCUUCAGGAGUUGGAGCGUGAAACUCAAGCGAGUCACCUCAGAAUUGCAACCAUCAUACAAUGGAGUGUUCGAGUCUACCAGCAGUUGCUCCAGCUUAGCCUCCUCUCUAGAAGCAGCUCUCUCAGUACUCGUGUCCUUGCGAAGCAGUGCUUGAACAUGAGGGUCCCGCACGAUUGAACUUAGUACCGACAAACUCUGCUGCGUGGAGUCCACGUUCUCUCCGCCGCCAUGUCCGGCCCCUUCUCCGCCGCCAUGUCCGCCUCUUCCCCGCCACCAUUAUCGAUCAUCUCUUCGUCUUGCCCCAUGUCGUCAUCGCCUUCCCCGUCGGCGUCCUCAACAUCGUCAUCCUCAUCUUCAAUUAUCCACCGAGUAUAGCCAUCCAUGAAACCUGUCAUGAAAAGGUACGCUUCGACACGACCAUCGUCAUAGGGGUCGAGCCGAACUAUUCCUUCGCAUUUUCGACACGGACAGAAAACCUCUGUCCGGUUAUUUUCUUUCAUGUCCCGCACCGCCGACCGCAACCACCUGUCCACCAUCGUUCCACUGACCAUCAUGAACGUCUGCACGGUAAUAAUAAACAAAUUGAUUAUAAAAAUGCGUGCAUGCAUCAAAGUCAUACAAAAAUUCGGCAUGACCAUCCCUAAAAAUAGGACAAAUAUAGAUCUAGAGUUUGCCUGGAAUUCGCCGAAACGGAAAUAAAUCGACAUUUCGGCAAAACAUAGGCACCUCAAAAGAACAAUUUGGCGUCAACACAUGCCAGACACACAAUUUCCAUCAUAUUGCCCAAUUAUCAUAUCACACACACAUACACAUGUUUCCAUUUUGCAAAAGCAUGAAAUUUUAAUCACCUCUAUCUCGAGAUCGAGCACACGGUGGAGAUGAUGAUGUAGGGAGAUCAAAAGUGCACAAAGCUCUUCUUGACAAAGAUAGAUCUAGUUAGGGGGCAAAUAGGUCACUUAACUAAAUGCNNNNNNNNNNNNNNNNNNNNNNNNNNNNNNNNNNNNNNNNNNNNNNNNNNNNNNNNNNNNNNNNNNNNNNNNNNNNNNNNNNNNNNNNNNNNNNNNNNNNNNNNNNNNNNNNNNNNNNNNNNNNNNNNNNNNNNNNNNNNNNNNNNNNNNNNNNNNNNNNNNNNNNNNUAAUGGGGGGAGAAGUAUUGAGGAAGAAGAAGAGUGAGAGAGGGAGGAUGUGGGAGGUAGGGGAAAGGGAGGAGAGGAGAUGGGGGAGGGGAGGUAGGGGAAAAAGGUGGUGGGGUUGUGUCUUAGCAGUAGUGGGGGAGGAAAAACGCGCUACUGCUAAGAGCAUAGCAGCAGCACUCUUUCCUCACACGCGCUACUAAAAAGCACGCUAAACGGGCCAAUCGUGUGGACAAUUUCCAAAUUAGCAGCAGCGACGUGACUAAAAAGCGCGCUACUACUAUUUUAUUAGCAGUAGCGCGCUUCGUGACACCGCGCUGCUGGAAAAUUUAGGUUGGUGUGUAGUGUCGGCCAAUUUUUGCAGGAGCAAGGUUUAAAGGUCACGCGCUACUACUAAAUUUACAUCAGUAGCGCGGUUUUCCUAAGCUAGCUACUGCUAAUUAGCAGUAGCGCCUCUUUUUGUGCCGCGCUGCUGCUAAGAUUCUGUGUAUAAGGUUUUCCCUAGUAGUGAUCUGUUUUGUGUCAACUUAAGAGUGUGCUGAAGCUAGAUUAUUCCAAAGCUUGAAUUUUAGGCGUAGGUGAAGUGUCGUGUUGAUCACCCUCUUUCAGCACCCACUACUAGGGAAAAUCCUAUACAUAGAAUCGUACCAACAUCGCGCUUUAAAACAAGGCGCUACUGCUACGUACUAGGAGCGCGUGCCGACGAAACGCGCUGCUAACAUAGAUGUAGGAGUACUGCGCCUAUGAUAAGCCGCACUACUGCUAUAUUUGCCACGACCCCGCCGCGAAGCUAGUUAUAGGAGCAGCACCUUAUUACAAAGAGUGGUACUGCUACAGAUCAUAGCAGUAGCGCAUGCUCACUAUAACUGCUACUGCUAAGUUUACUACAAAAUUUAGUCCCACCUUGCUCCACGAACAGUGUUUUUACCAUCUUAAAUAUGUUAGUUCUCAAACUAUCACUACCACUUGGUUUUCAUUGAACUCUAUGUGUAGAAUUUUUGGCUGCAAUAUGAGUCUUCUCCGGUUUCUAAAAACAGAUGAGGUCUCAUAUUGAUAAUUCAGAUUGUACACAAAAAGAUCAUUGAUGAUUAAUGUAUUUUUUAUGUAUAUUUUUACAUGUUUACACAUAACAGUAGCGCGUUUUGCCUAUAAGGCACUACUGCUAGGUCUUUUAGCAGUAGCGCAUUUCUCUAUAGCAUGCUACUGCUAAGCCAUUCUAUCUUCCCCAGCCUACCACCUAUCACUCUCGUCUCUCCACUCACACUCACUCGAUCUCCCCCCUCAAUCCCCCCGCGCCAGUCCCCCCCGCCAGCCGCCGUCGCCUACCCCUUCUCCCUCUGCGCCGCCGUCACCUCCCUCUUCUCCCUGGACCCGGUAAACCUACGUCGGCCGCCCUCCUCCCCACCCCCUCCUCCUCCGUCCUCCCUCCACUCCUCCGUUCGCAGCCGGCCGGCCCCUCCUCGCNNNNNNNNNNNNNNNNNNNNNNNNNNNNNNNNNNNNNNNNNNNNNNNNNNNNNNNNNNNNNNNNNNNNNNNNNNNNNNNNNNNNNNNNNNNNNNNNNNNNNNNNNNNNNNNNNNNNNNNNNNNNNNNNNNNNNNNNNNNNNNNNNNNNNNNNNNNNNNNNNNNNNNNNNNNNNNNNNNNNNNNNNNNNNNNNNNNNNNNNNNNNNNNNNNNNNNNNNNNNNNNNNNNNNNNNNNNNNNNNNNNNNNNNNNNNNNNNNNNNNNNNNNNNNNNNNNNNNNNCUCCUCGCUCCGCCUUCCUCCUCCGUCCUCCUUCCUCCUCCAGUCGCCCCUCCUUCUCCCUCCUCCCUCCUCCAUCCACAACCCCUCCUCCUUGCUACAUCUUGAUUUAGUAGGCUAGUUCAUUGCAACACUUUGAUUUAGUUGAUAUGAUUUACUUGAUUUAGUAGGCUAGUUGAUUUAGAACAUUUUGAUUUAGUAGGAUAGUUGAUUUAGUUAAUUUAGUAGGCUAGUUGAUUUAAUUCAUUUAGAACAUUCUGAUUUAGCUGAUUUAGUAGGCUAGUUGAUAUGCAACAUUUAGAGAGACAGAGAGACAGAGAGACAAAGAGAGAGAGAGAGAUAUGAUAGUUGAUAGUUUUUUGUUGAUAUGAUUGACCGAUUAGUAAAAAUUUAGACAUAGUUGAUAGGUUUUAGUUGAUAUAAGCCUCUGGCCAUAUAUAAUAAUUCGAUAUAGGAUAUUUUCUAGGGUUUAGAAUAGUUGAUUCUAGUUUGCUACGUUGGUUUGCAUGUUGAGCUUGAUGAUCAUCCCAUGCUAAGUUAUUGUUUUCUUUGCUCAUAUUGCUUUAGGAAAAUGGCGCGACCACCACCACCACCAUGUCGACUGUGCAAGUCAUGGUGUGGCAGCAGCCUUGCAACUGGCAACCUAUUCGGCAUCUUCUUCCAGCCGAGUUUUUGUCAUGCGGCGGUAAGAAAUUAUAUGAAAUGUAACAAGUAUUUUGAUUUUAGUGUUGGCAUUAAUGCAUUGUGUCAUUUUUAUUUUUGUACACAUAUCGUCUCAUGCAAUGUGAGGUUGAAAUUCAACAAGCUGACAGGAGACACUGUGACCUUUGAGGCACCUAGGGGGCCCUACACUAUGGAGGUCGAGAAAGGACGUAAUAUGUCGCAAAUUGGAGGAGAUGGAUGGUCCCAUUUCCUCGCCCACAUGUGUCUUACUGGUGGUGAGUUGGUGAACUUCCCAUGUUUUUAGUUAAGCUCUGCGUGUCCACGGCCAUCGAUCAAUGGUAGCAGUUUGUCAUUGCUUGAUUUCUGCGACCACAGAAAUUUCACACUGCACGCUGAUUACCGCAAUACAUGGAACUGAGUUGAUGCUCAGUAUACAGUUGACAACCGAACCACUAGUCAUGGAUAAUUUGUUUAUGUAGUUAAUUGCUCUUUGUGAUGAAUUUGAUGUAGUGUUGUUUUGCAUUCUAUAUGGUUGCUCUCUUGGAAAUGUGUGGUCCAUGGUAUUCAUCUACCCUAAACAUUUCUCGCUUUUAAAUUUUGUCUGUUUUGGGUUGUGUCAUAUAGGGAGACCUGAGAUGGCGCUUUCUUUCAAUAUGGCAGGACCUUCUAAAGGGAGGAAAACCACCCUGGAUGUCACAGCCUUUGGGAGGGAAGCCCUACACAUCUCGGUUCAAGUGAGUCAUUGAUCCCCAACCCCCGCCCCUCUAUCUCUCCCUCUCUCUCUUGCUGUGAGAUGUUCUGGCCAUCAAGCCAUUGAUUUAGUGUUUGGAUCGGUUAUUUAAUUGCAUGUCUGGUACACUACUAGGAAAAAGGCUACUAGCAGCGCGGGUACCCGCGCUACUAGUAUCGUACUACAGCUAAUAGUUAGUAGUAGCGUGGGUGCACCCGCGCUACUACUAAAAAGUUGGUAGUAGCGCUGGUGCACACCAACGCUACUACUAUUUGCUACUAUCAAAAUAGUAGUAGCGCUUCUAGUAUACUAGGCGCUACUACUAUGCUAGAUGGUAGUGGCGUGUAGUUUUGCCCAGCGCUACUACUAACAAAUGAUAAAUUUAAAAAAAUAAAAAUUACGUGCAUUAUUCAUAGAUAGAAAUCAGGGACACGUCCAGUGCAAAAUAAAUUAAACACACACAACCGAAGGUGGCUACCUUCCCUAGUGUUCCACCACUAGCCUAAACAGACCACUUCUCUACAUUUAUCUACCAAGGCUCGGAGUUCAGACGCCGGAGGACCCGAAUCCUCCCUCACCCCGAAAGAUGGCGUCGAGGUCCUCCACCUCUCCGACAUCCGGCAUCGUGAUCACAUGGACGAUCAUCCGGGCGGUGCGGUCGCUGGGCUUCACGUCGAAGUCCACCUCUAAGUGGUUGAAGAGCAUGACGCCCACCAGGUUGUCGUAGUCAGCCACGUCGGGAAAGUGAAAACUUGUUAGUACGCAUCAGAGUUCAAAUUCGGUAGGGUAUUUUCUUUCUUUUUAGCACAUGCACAUGCAUCAAUAGUAACAGCCGGAGGCUAGUCCUUACUUUUUGCAUGAGACAUGAAGAAGGCCAGGUCCCCUCUUCGUUGCACGAAUGAAUCAAAGGAAGACACUGCCACAAGACAUGAAGAAGGCCGGGUCCCCUCCUUUUGUAAAUAGCUCAAGUGCCUGAAGUUGCAAGGAAUCUUAAUACAAUGAACUUAUAGUAAUGCAUAAUAACAAGAAAAAGGAAAAAAAAUCAUGAAUCCUAAAGAAAAAGAUCAUUAUGUGAGUCAAGAUAAUGUGGGCAACAGUAUUCAUUAAUAAGAAAAAUGGGAUGAGAUUUCUGAAGUGACAUUUGUUUCACCAACAAUGAUUAAUGACGAGGCAUGUAAGAUUUACCUGCGCAACAUCAGCAUACCCUCUGGUCCUUGCAAGAACUUGAAGACCAAGGUUCUAGCUUUCUCCCCACUGACUAGCACAAGUGCAGCGGCACCGUCGCUGUACAUUAACCCAAGAUCUGCUUUUCAUAGGAACAGUAAAAGCUGUACUUAACCCAAGAUCUGCAUUUUUCACAUCAUCUUCUCCUUGUCAACCAAUAGAUUUUGGGGCUUUAAAUCCCUAUGAUAUCAAAGAGGAACAAUCGUAAAUCACAUUAGCAACAAUUGCAAUAUGUUGUAUGGGCCGAUAAAUACAGCAACAUAAAUCAGAAAACAAAGGUCUAACCGAUGAAGGACACCAUGGCCAUGGCAGUGUGCAAUUCCUUUGCAUAACUGAUACAAAAAUCUCUACAAGAAUGUAAAGAAAGUUUUCUAUUAGCCCGAAACAGACCUAUCAAAAUUAAACUGGACUCUGGCAUCUGCUAUCCAAUGAAAAUUAACGAUAGCAUCCUCAAAAUAAAGGCAUGAAGAUGAAUUGAUUCCAAAGAUAACAACAAAUUAAUCUGUACUUGAGUGUAUGCAAAACAGAGAACACAGCAGCAGUCAACAUUGAGUUUCAACCAUUAUACUAGCACUACUUAGUUCCUAAUUUAGUAUCCUGCAACUAGGCUAGAGUAGUAGAGUUUGCAUAUUUUUUGACGAAUUCAAACUAGCUACAAAUUUACAAUGUAGUUCGCUCUGAUUGCAUAUCAAUGUUUUGCACGUUUCCGAUGCAAAACUCAGAGUUCAGAAUGGGCAUAUAUGAGGAAGUGCCAAGUCCUCAAAUCGAUGGAUAGGAGACUCAGCCGAUGUAGCAUCGGCAGAAAGCCAAGUGAGCAGGGCAAGGGCAAAUCAGCCUCAAAACUAAUUAAAAUCGCUACCUUGAUGACCUGAGUUGGGAGCGGCUUAGGGGCAGCUUAAUUUCAGUCGCCACAACCAAAUUUUCAAAAAAUUUCCACCCUUUUCUUCUACUCCCUCUGUAAACUAAUAUAAGAGUGUUUAGAUCACUAAAGUAGUGAUCUAAACGCUCUUACAUUAGUUUACGGAGGGAGUACAUCAUAGCGCAGAAAUCUACUGAUGUGUAUGCGCAUGCUUGACAAUUUUUGAAUAAACUAAGCACAAGCUACAAUCUCCUAGUAUAAUCAGUACACCCACGCGAGAUCCAAAGCUAUGAACAGAGGACAGCCACAUCUAGAACAUGACAGAUCACUCAGGAAACUCCCUAGAAUUCCGCGCAAUUUGUGCAACCGUGGACAGAGUACACGCCCAGAGGGCGGGCAGCGGGGUAGAUCUCGACUCAGCUUACCCGGUCGAGCUCCCGGAGGAGGGAGAGGCCGGCGACGGAGAAGUAGGCGAGGGUGAGGUGGUUGACCUCCUGCGUGGCAUAGCCGUCGGGGAGCUCGGACGACAUGACCUCUAGGAACGCCGCGUGGCGCGCGUGCGAACCCGGCCGGCUCCUCCUCCUGGUCCCCCAUCUCCGGCGGUCGUCGGUCGUGGAAAGUGAAGGCCUCUCUCUCUCCUCGUCGCCGCCGAUUGGUCUGACCGGUGCAGGGGAACGAAUCCUGCCGCGCUUGGGACUUUGGGAGGGGGCUGAGAUGAGCUGACGGUCCCUCGGGGCCGCCGCGCUGCCCCACCUCCAUGCCGCGGCGGGGAGCAGCCCGGGCUGGCCGUCGCGAUGGGCCUUGUCGGCUGGGCGGUGGAGGAUCCCGGCAUGGAUCGGAAAAAGGGAGAGAUCCCGUCGGCAGAGGAGAUGAGAGGAGGUGGAGGGGAUGUGAAUCAGGGGUGGGUGGGGUGCGGGAGUGGGUGGACUGGGACUGAAAGGCUAGCGUAGCGCAGGGUAUCUCACCGGUGCUACAGAUAUCCACUUAGCAAUAGCGAUUGUUUAAAACCCACGCUACUACUAUGGUAUGUCGGCAGGGCACGGUCGAAAAUAUUUACUAAUAGCGUGUUAUUUUUUGCCACACGCUACUAGUAAAUAGUAUUAGUAGCGCGGGUCAUUAUAGCGCGUUACUAGUAAAUAGUAGUAGCGUGGGUAAAUAAAGAGCGCUACUAGUAAGCGUCUGUGUAUAAGCUUUUCCCUAGUAGCGGUAGUUUCAAACACAAUGUUGUAUGCCCUUUGUAAUUUCUGGUUUCCUAACUAAGCAGUCCAAGCAUGUAUCUCUAAUUUGUGAUGGAUGUGACAUCCACUUUCUAGUAAUUUUGUGAUGCUGACCAAACGAACUACACUACUAAUACUAGUUGAACAAGAAGGUCGGUUCGAUGCUGUUUGCUUGUACGAAUGAGUCCAAGCAGUUUGUGUUAAUUUGUUUGAAGUUGGCUGGUUGCACCUUUAUCCCAUUACAGGGUUUGAAAUGGCUCCUCCACCUUUCUUGGGCUAAUAAAGUGCAGGAUUCUCCCAUUACCUGGCUAUAUUCGUGUUAGCUGACAAUAUAUACUCCCUCCAUCCCAAAAUAAGUGUCUCAACAUUAGUGACACUGCCAAGCGCGAACACUUUGGUGUCUGUGACCAUACGCUAGCUAAAUGGCCGAUCAUCUUUGGUUCCCUCUCUCCUUUUGGUUUUUAGCAUAGCAUGCCGUUGUUUUUGUUGUCCCCCUGGUAGUAUAAGCCAACACUUGGGGUGUGAGAUUGUCUAGUGCCUUUUUAGAUUAGUCACCAUAAAACAUUUUGUUUGUGAAGUUGAUUGUGACAGAACUUCGAUUACGUGAGGGUCUGUCGUUACUUAAGCCCAGCUUAUGUACAAGGGUGUCUUUUCGUUUUGGGUUCUGAGCAUAGCAUGUUUUUGUUUUUGUCAUCUCGUUAUAAUAGUACCAGCCAACAGUUUUGUGUGAGAUUGAGUUUCUAGCUUCUUUUUUUAUAACUGGCUAUAGAACAUUUAGUUUGUGAAUCCCUUUCGGGGGUUCCUUAGGGACCGAUUCCCUCUGCACAGAUUGACUGAGCAUGUCUGGUCAUUGUUUCUUUAACUUGUUGCAUGUGUAUUUGAAGCUCUGACUUAGAAGUUUUGUUCCUAUGGUCGUCAGGUUAUGUGCCAUGGAAUGGACGGAAGAUGGUGAGCGACCACUAAUGGAUGUGGUCGAAUGCACCUUGCCAGUCUCGAGAGUCCUUGGAAGUGGACGGUGGCCCUAUUGGUUGAAGGCAGGGGAAAAUUGCUCGACGUAUUUCAGCAAUCAACAGGGCACUUUUAGGCUUGUUUUCCAUUGGAUGGACUGAGAGGGGUCUGUAGAGAGAUCCCAAUCUUAUGGUCUAAGUGUCUGUGCUAAAUGGUGAUACAUUCUGAGAUACAAGAAGACCCUGCCGAUCUAAUCUUGAAGACUACUGAUUGGCAUUAUUGUGUUUAUUUUCACUUUUCUCUCUUGUAGGCUGAGGUGUCUCAGAACUUUGUAAAAUUGAUGGGAUGGUGAUAUAUGUUGGCCUUGUCCCAGGGAUUGUAUUGUGUGGCAUGGAGGGAGUUAUUAUUGUAUUUUCGGUUAGUGUCAAGAGAUUGGAAUGAAUGUGUGCGGCUCAAAUUGUAGUAAUUCUUCAUGAAUGAUUCAUUCAAUAGUUAUACGUACAAUAAUAACUUGUGCAUGAAAACAUAUCUAGUAUGUUGUUGUGGAAAGCAAUUGCUUUCUUGCUUUCAAAUUUUCCAUUAGAAAAAUAAAUUGGAGUGGUUGUGCUUGUGUAUGCAUCAACAUGUGAGCAAGCAUAGUAUUGCUUGGCUGGUAGUUAUUGUUGUCCCCGACAAUCAUGUCGAAACUGGAGGGUUGGAUUUGGAUUCUUCUCUCUUUUGGUGCGUAUUACUACUUGCAACAAGAUUAUGUGACAAGGAAGUAGAAGAUAAUUGAUUAGUGGUGCAUUUUAAUCAUGUGAUGAUUACUAGUUUUGAUUGAUGCUUGAUGAUGGUUCAACUUGAUCAUGUUCUAAUAUUGAUGAUGAUCACUAGGUUGUUCUGAUCAUUCUUAUUUCGAGCAGACAGUGUUGAAUCGAAUAUGUGUAAUGUUAUAUGCUACCAUAUCUGUCACAAGUAACAAAACAUCUUAUAAUUAGGAACCGAGGAAUGCAAAAGAGCAACCUGUUUUCUCUUCUUAGUUAUCUUCUCUAAUCUAGGUACUAUUCCUAAUAAUAUGUAAAAUCUACUAGGGAAGAUCAGUUUUUGUUUUGGGAAUCAGACAAUUCAAAUUUGUUAGGAGGAGAGAGAAAGGAGAGAUCUCUGCAAGUUUGUUAGGAGGAGAGAGAAAGGAGAUAUCUAUGCAAGUUUGUUAGCAGGAGAGAAAGGAGUGAUCUCGACAAGUUUGUUAUGAGGAGAGACAAACUAGAGAUCUGAGUGACGUGAUCCUUGGAUUCACAUUACAUAUGAAAAAAAAUUGGAAACAGCCAACCGAUUUGCAUCCUUGGAUUCACAUUAUAUAUGAAAAAAGAUGGAAACUGCCAACCGUUUUGCAGUUAACCCUCUCGCUUAUCCCUCCUCCUUGGAAUCAGGCAAUCCCCAUUUAAUUGCUACCGUUAAAUAUAUCGCCCCUCCUCCUCCCUUUGUUCAUUUGUUCCAUCCAUUGGUUGGCAUCCAUCAAAGGUCUGUCAUACCUUACGCCACCUCACCGAUCCGCGGCCUCCUGGUUCUUCUAAGGCCAUCACUAUAUGUACUAGAAACAGUGAUACAUCUGUGUGCGGGGUGCGCGUGCGACUUAGGACUUGGGACCUUGGGCGACGGCGGUGGCGACGGGCGUGAGGAACUUGGACGCAGACAAAGCAUCACAAGCCUAUUAAGCUGGCAACGGGCAGCAGAAGCCCGACAUUGACGACACAGAUGAGGAGCCCUGCCGCUAGGGACGCGCGGAUGAAAGAUGAGGAGCCCUGCCGCUAGGGAGGCGCAGAUGAAAGAUGAGGAGGAUUGAGGCCUCCGACGCCCCUCCAGUCCUGCAUGCUGGCGUGGUGAGAGUAACGAGGAGGAGGAGGAAGCAUUUGUUCGUGCUCUGGCAGUGCGGAGGCACUGGCCGGCCAGAGAUGAAGGGCUCGGUUGGCGGGGGUCCUGUUUAUUGGCUCCCAGUCCUAGCGGCGAGCGCGCAAGGUCGGAGAUGGAUUUGAUCGGGUUGGGUUGGAUUGGAUUGAAAAGAAAGGGAAGGGAAGAACGUGUGUCGUCAAGGAGGAGGAAGAAGAAGAUGUAAUAAGGAUGUACGGACUCGAGUUGCCUGCUGACGAAAUGCGUGCGUUUGGGUGGAGAUUCGCGCUUCGAAGUAGAAAGCCGUGUUUAAUUCUAACACUCAUCUUGAGGAGUCACUCUCAAAGCAUACAUAUGCAGACUCGUGACGUGACAAAACACAUACCGACUGCUUGACAAGAUCUCGUCUUGGAGACUAAACAUGGACAAACGAUUGUGGUGGUAAAUCGAUGUUUCAUGAGAGCAAGCUAGAGACAACGAAACGCCUAGAGACAACGAAAUAUGGAGAAAUGAUUGUGGUGGUAGAUAUCAUGGUCUCAAUAUCCCGCAAAAAAAUUGCUCUUUCCUCUAUUGUGUACUUUUUUCUGUGCAUUACUGGUCUCCCGCGUAGUAAGACCAUAUGAAAGCAGCAGCGCAGAAUGGUCUCUCGCCUAGGCUAGGCUACCUGUGACUGAGACGGAUCUACGUUUACAUAUAGGAUCACUUUUAUCGUCACCGUCUGUCAUAGCUUCAUGUAAAAAGCUAAAGGUCAAUUUGAUUUUCUCAAGGGAAAAGUGUACUUUUAGUCCCUUAACUUUCAAACUGGACAACUUGCACCUCCAUCUCUUGAAACCAGGCAAUUUCAGUCCCUUGUCUCGGCUGUUCCGGUUACUUCUAUCCCACAAAUUUAGAUCAAUUCUAUCUAAUUAACCUUUUUGGUUUUGGGAGUAAUCUCACCACAUAAGAGCAUCUCUAGCCCCUCAAACGACCCCUCAAACCUGAACUCAUUAUAUUUUGAAGAGUUAAAUAAAAAUAGUUCCUAGCCAAACUCUUAACUUAACUCCCUAAAACAUUUUCCACACUAAUUUAUUUCAAUAGAUAUUGAAACUACUCGAUUGAAACAGAAAUUUAAACAAUGAUUGGAUAAUUCAGUACAUUGUAUAACAUCAACUUAAACUACUCGAUUCAAACUUAAAACUAAAUAAAACUAAUCUUCUUUGGCCAGGAUUUUCUCCCAAUCCGCGUCACCUAUGCCGGACCCUCCAGAGCUGGAGUCACGGACAAAAAUCUAUCACUACCGUUCCAUCCUCGUCGCCGAGCCCCCACCGGACUGUCUAGCCUCAUCGGUGAUAUUCUUGUAGAGCUCGCAAACCCGGAGCUCCUCAACGACGAGCUCCAAAUGAUUUGCUUGGAGAUCGGCCAUAUAUGCCUUCUCGGUGUGUGCGGCCUAGAUCUGCUCAAAGGCCUCCUUAUUAUUCUACACCUCACGGAGGGAGACUACUCAGGUAUGGACGAAGAUGAGUUACAAGACAGCGCUACUGCUGAGACGAAUCUUUAUCUUCUUAUGGCUGCUGUGGAGGCUAGGUCUGGUUUAACUCUUAAAAAUUUAAGGACUUGUACGUUUUCUUAUAUCAUGAUAAAUGUUUAUUAUUCAUGUUAGAAUUGUAUUAACCGGAAACUUAGUACAUGUGUGAAUACAUAAACAAACAGAGUGUCCCUAAUAUGCCUCUACUAGACUAGCUCGUUAAUCAAAGAUGUUAAGUUUCCUAGCCAUAAACAUGUGUUGUCAUUUAAUGAACGAGAUCGCAUCAUUAGAGAAUGAUGUGAUGCACAAGACCCAUCCGUUAGCUUAGCACUAUGAUCCUUUAGUCUAUUGUUAUUGCUUUUUUCAUGACUUAUACAUGUUCCUAUGACUAUGAGAUUAUGCAACUCCCUAAUACCGGAGGAACACUUACUGUGCUAUCAAAAGUCACAAUGUAACUGGGUAAUUAUAGAGACGCUCUACAGGUGUCUCCGAUUGUAUUUGUUGAGUUGGCAUAGAUCGAGAUUAGGAUUUGUCACUCCGAUUGUCGGAGAGGUAUCUCUGGGCACUCUCGAUAAUGCACAUCACUAUGAGCCUUGCAAGCAAUGCGACUAAUGAGUUAGUCAUGGGGUGAUGCAUUACAGAACGAGUAAAGAGACUUUCCCGGACGAGAUUGAACUAGGUAUGAUGAUACCGACGACUGAAUCUCGGGAAAGUAACAUCCCGAUGACAAAGGGAACAACGUUUGUUGUUAUGCGGUUUGACCGAUAAAGAUCUUCAUAGAAUAUGUAGAAACCAAUAUGAGCAUCCAGGUUAUGCUAUUGGUUAUUGACCGGAGAUGUGUCUAGGUCAUGUCUACAUAGGUCUCGAACCCGUAGGGUCCGCGCGCUUAACAUUCGAUGACGAUUCAUAUUAUGAGUUUAUGUGAUUUGAUGUACCGAAGGUUGUUCGGAGUACCAGAUGAGACCACGGACAUGACGAGGAGUCUUGAAAUGGUCGAGACAUAAAGAUUCAUAUAUUGGAAGGCUACAUUCGGACACCGAAAUGAUUCGGGUCGUUUCGGAUAAGUUUCGGAGUACCGGGGGUCACCUCGGUCAUAUUGUCGUAGUGCUUAGGCGAAGCCCUGUGUCGGAAACUUCAUCAUCACCGUCACCACGCUGUCGUGCUGACGAAACUCUACCUCGGCCUCAACUGGACCAAGAGUUCAAGGGACGUCACCGAGCUGAAUGUGUGCAGAUCGUGGAGGUGCCGUGCGUUCGGUACUUGAUCGGUUGGAUCGCGAAGACGAUCGACUACAUCAACCGCGUUACUAAACGCUUCCGCUUUCAGUCUACGAGGAUACGUAGACACACCCUUCCCCGCUCGUUGCUAUGCUUCUCCUAGAUAGAUCUUGCGUGAUCGUAUGAUUUUUUUUGAAAAUACUACGUUUCCCAACACAAGUGCGACCCGCGCAUCCGCGCCAGCAUUAACCAUGUCUAGGAGGUCGAGGAGCCCCUCGACCCAGCCCUCACCUGCUUUAACGACGUUGCCGGUUUUGGCAGGGUCGAUUCCCCCAUCGCCUGACUCAUUUCUAACGAGUAUGAUGUCGGUGGGUAUGCCGUGCCAUUCGUAUGCCUUGGCGGGUUCCAGAACACACGCGGUCUGUAUCAUCUCAACGAGGGCAAGGGGCUCGUGCUCGUGCUAGAGCUUGACAAGGCGCGCUUCUAUCUCGACACCAACUAUGAGCUGGAUUGUUAGACUACGGGGCAAGCGCGCGGGGAGGGGGGGUGACGAAGCCGUAAGUGCAGGUAUUUCGAGCUUGUCGCUGCCGUAUACCCUGGAGAGGUGCGCGAAGAGACCUGGUUAGAUUUCUUGCCACCCACUGCUAGAUGCUCCAUGUCUACUCCUCCGGUUCCUUGGGCAUUAUUGGGUUGUCUCAAUUUUCAGUUUGGAACACAUAGCCGUGAAUUUUUUUUAUUGAUAUAGUUGUUGGGAAGAUUUGAUGUAUUAUCGCUAAGCUCUCGGGAGUAGGCCUGAGGAAGGUCUGCUAGAGUGGUGAAUUAUGUUUCUUGAAAAAGAGAGGAAGAUGCUUGUUUUUGUGGUCUCGUGGAAUAUCAUACACAAUAUGUAUGUUUAUGGUAAAAACUUGAGCAAUAUUUAUAUUCAUUUGUUGGCCCGUGGCAACGCACAGGCAUUGAACUAGUGAGACAUUAUGGUACACUUUGCAAUAAGAAAAUAAAACCCAGCAAAUUUUGUCACAACUCAAAAGAUUUUGAAACGAGGCAAAAGACAUGCCAUUUUUAUUGAUUAAGAAGAAGAGAAUUUUGCCUGGUUAAUUGACGGAAAACUGGGCUAAAACCGUUACAACACAGCCCACAUGACAUGGGCACCACCGGCCAACCUAGCCACCGACAUGGAACAAAAGCCACGACGGCACAUGCUAACAGAUGACCGCACGCGCAAGCAACCGACAGCUCCGACUUUGUUGACGAGCAACGCAAGGGAAAUAUGCUGCACUUGCGCCGACCAUGCCCCCCGCAGACGACCACUCAAUGCCUGUCAUCGUCACCACCUGGACUCGCUCCACCGCAGCUCUGACUUCAAAGCAACCAGCAACCACGGAAGAGCACCUCGGACACGCUGGGAAGAACCGACUACCGAAGACCACGCCGCGACCCAAGCUCCAUUCGACGCCAUCAUCAUUGCUAAACAGAAACCAGCGCCCUGCCUCAGCAGACCACGCGGCGAAGAUGCCGCCCUCCACGGCAAGGAUGACGUUAUCCACCAGUCUCCCAGUCGUAGCCUACUUCGAGACGAUGCCCGCAAGGAGGAGAAAGACGUGAAGACGCCUCCAUCGCCCGAUCCGGAGGAUCUGAGGUUUCCCUCCGGAGCCAAAGCUAUGGGGAGGAAGAGCGCACCUCCACGACGACGCUUCCAAGAAAGAUCGCGGCACCCGCGGGCACCGCCGUCGCCGGCUCCAGUGGAGACCGGAGGAAGGAUUUCUCCCAGAGAUGUGCCUACCGCCCGCCACCACCGACCGCCGCCAACAAACCACGACCCCUGCCGAGGCCGACCUCACUCUGGCCACGUGAUCCCACGAUCCAUCGAGACUAGAAACGCACCACCCCCUGGCCGAAGCCACCGUCCACCACCGCGGCACCACCUUGACUACCACCACCGCAUCAACCAACGCCGCAUUGCCACGCGCAGCACCCAGAUUGAAGAACAAGCUCCCACCAGAUCGAAAGACGAGCAGGUUCUCCCUCCGCAGCACACCGCACACUCCAGAGAAGCACACCCACCAUGCGCAGCCGCCGGUCGCCGUGCCCAGCCGUCGAUUUUCGCCCCAUGCACACUCCUAGAGCCGAGCCGCCGCCGAGUGCAUGUGUGCCGUCCACGCCCAGGCCAUGCCGGGAGCCCGAACCUAGGCCGCCGCCCCGACUCCCCUGAGGGAGUCCUGGACUAAGGAGUCCUCGGGCGUCGGACCUGUUAUCCAAGGGCCGGACUAAUGGGUUGUGAAGAUCAAAGAUCAUAAUCGUGUCCAUAUUGGACUCUACUUGACGUGGAAGGCAAGCUAGGCGACCGAAGAUUCCUUUUUAUGUAACCGACUCCAUGUAAACCCUAGAUCCCCUCGGUGUCUAUAUAAACCGAAGGGGAUAGUCCGGAAAGGACACCACGUAUACUCAUUACCAUAUGCAUAGGCUAGAAUUCUAGGGUUUAGUCAUUACGAUCUUGUGGUAGGUCAACUCUUGUAAUACUCAUAUUCAUCAAGAUCAAUCAAGCAGGAAGUAUGGUAUUACCUCCAUAGAGAGGGCCCGAACCUAGGUAAACAUCGUUUCCCCUAUCCCCUGUUACCAUCGAUCCUAGACGCACAGUUCGGGACCCCCUACCGAGAUCCGUCGGCUUUGACACCGACAUUGGUGCUUUCAUUGAGAGCUCCACUGUGUCGUCGACAAAAGGUUCGAUGGCCCCUUCAAUCAUCAAUAACGACAUUGUCCAAGGAGAAACCUUCCUCCCAAGACAGAUCUUCGUAUUCGGCGGCUUUGUACUGCGGGCCAACUCGUUUGGCCAUCUGGAGCAGAUCAACAGCUACACCCCUGGCCAUCAGGUCAAAUUCGGAAGCCUAUAUUACGUCGCGGACGUCCGUGGAGAUUUGACCUUCGACGGAUCCGAGACCGCGGCAACCGCUCACCAUGACCUCGACGAACAUGGCUUAAACCUGUCAUCAGGCCGCAUCCAGGAGAUAGCUCCUGUAGCAGCUCUGGCCUUAAAUCCGGAGCAGAUCAAGUCGCCCGUAGUUGGGAAGCUCGACCCCAUCACGGGGGCUAACGAUUCCUCGACGCUAGAGCCGCACGCAUAUUGCACUUCAUACGGUAUCUGCAUCAACGGAACCUCGGACUCCACCAGGUGCAACCAUGGCACAACAUAUUCUUUCUGGUUCAUAAAAAAUAUCAGUAAAAUUUCGUGGCAUUUGGACUCCGUCUGAUAUUGAUUUUUGCGAUGUAAAAAACACGAAAAAACAGGAACUGGCACUUGGCACUAUGUCAAUAGGUUAGUACCUAAAAUUGAUAUAAAAUGAUUAUAAAACAUCCAAGAUUGAUAAUAUAGCAGCAUGCAUGGAACAAUCAAAAAUUAUAGAUACGUUGGAGACGUAUCAACAUCCCUAAGCUUAACCCCUACUCGUCCUCGAGUAUGUAAGUGAUAAAAACAGAAUUUUUUAUGUGAAGUGUUGUUUAACAUGUCAUAUUAUAUUUUUUUCUUUAUAGCAUGGACAUUUGGGCUUUUAUAUGAUUCAAAGGAAUAGUUUAGUGUUGACAUAAUAAUUUAGAUACUCAAACAUAUCAACAAGCAACCAUGUCUUUCUAAAUAUCAAUGCUAAAAUAUGUUAUCCGUACAAAAUCAUAUAGUCUUGUCAUGCUUUGUCUUCUUAACACAAAGUAUUUAUCAUGCACAACCCCGAUGACAAGCCGAGCAAUUGGUUCAUACUUUUUAACGCGCUUUAACUUUUUCAACUCUUACGCAAUACAUGUGCGCAAGCCAUAGAUAUAGCACUACGGGUGGAAUAUAAUAUGAGGAUAGGGCUAAAUAUAGAGAAGAAAAAGAAGUAAGAAAGUCUCACAUCGAUGUGGCUAACCAACGGGCUAUGGAGAUGCCCAUCAAUCGAUAUCAACGUGAGGAGUAAGGAUUGCUAUGCGACGAAUGCACUAAGAGCUAUAAGUGUAUGAAAACUCAAUGGGUGUGCAUCUAAUCCUAUAAUGAAAAAUUCCCACUAGUAUAUGAAAGUGACAACAUAGGAGACUCUCCAUAUGAAAGACAUGGUGCUACUUUAAAGCACAAGUGUGGUAAAGGAUACUAACAAUGCCCCUUCUCUCUUUGUUUAUUUUUUCCUUUUUUUGUUUUUUUCCUUUUUUUCUUUUUUUCUCUCAUUGUCUGGAGUCUCAUCCCGACUUGUGGGGAAAUCAUAGUCUCCAUCAUCCUUUUCUCACUGGGGCACUGCUCUAAAAAUGAAUAAUGAUGACCAUCACACUUCUAUUUACUUAUAACUUAAAAGAAAUAAAAAUUACAAUUUGAUACCUAUGACAAAGUAUGACUCUAUAUGAAUGCCUCUGGCAUGUAACAGGAUGUGCAAUGAUCUAGCAUAACAUGUAUAAAAAAUGAUGAAUGGUGGCUGAGCCACAACUACUAUGUCAGCUAUAUGAUCAUGCAAAGCAAUAUGACACUGAAUGCUCAAGUCAUCAAACGGAAGCGGUGGAAGUUGCAUGACAAUAUAUCUCGGAAUGACUAUAGAAAAGCCAUAAUAGGUAGGUAUGAUGGCUGUUUUGAGGAAGAUAUAAUAAGGCUUAUGUGUGAUAGAGCGUAUCAUAUCAAAGGGUUUGGAUGCACCUGCGAAGUUUGCAUCAUGUCUCGAUGUGAGAAAGGGCAAUGCACGGUAACGUAGAGGCUAGCAAAUUGCGAAAAAGGUAAGAGUGCAUAUAAUCCAUGGACUCACAUUAGUCAUAAAGAACACAUAUACUUAUUGCAAAAGUUUAUUAGCCCUCAAAGCAAAGUACUACUACGCAUGCCCUUAGGGGAUAGAUUGGUAGGAAAAAACCGUCGCUCAUCCCCGACCACCACCCAUAAGGAAGACAAUAAAAAAUAAAUCAUGCACCAACAUCAUAGCAUAACGAGAGACUAUACGUGCAUGUUUCGGAAAUCACAAACCUUAACACCAAUAUUACUACUAGAGCACAAUUACUCAUCAACAUAACUCACAUAUCACAUCAUCAUAUCUUCAAAGUAUCACUAAGAAUCAAGUUUAUUUUGUCCAAUGAUAUUCAUGACUUUUAUUUUUCUUUAUCCUUCUUUAUAUUUAUCACUUUAGGACUAAUUUUUUGUGUUGCUUUUCAUACGCUCAAACAUAUAUAAGUGAAGAUCAUGAGUAUAACAAAUUUUCUUUCUCUCAAAAUAAUUUAAGUGAAGCAAGAGAUAAUUUCUUCAAAAUUUUAUUAACUCUAAAAUAAAUCUUGGUGAAGCAAGAGAGCAUUUCUUCAAAAAUACUAAAGCACGACGUGCUCAAAAAGAUAUAGGUGAAGCACUAGAGCAAGUCCUAGCUCAUAAAAAUUUAAAUGAAGCAUAGAGAUCAAUUCUAACAAGUCAUGACAUAAUUUUGGCUCUCUCAAAUAGGUUUGUCCAGUAAGGAUUGAUGACUUAAAACACAAAAUAAAACAAGAAAAGACUCGUAUCAUACAAGACACUCCAAACAAAACACAUAUCAUGUGACGAAUAAAAAUAUAGUUUCUAGUAAAAUACUAAUGAUCGUUGGAAGAAAACGAGGAUGCCACUCGGGGGCAUCCCCAAGCUUAGUUGGUUACUCAUUCUUGGAUAAUAGCUUGGGAUGCCGGGGCAUCCCCAAGCUUAGGCCCUUCCAUUCUUCCUUCAUCCAUCGUAAGAUAACCUAAAACUUGAAAACUUCAAUCACACAAAACUCAACAAAACCUUCGUGAGAUCCGUUAGCAUAAGAAUAAUGAACCACUACUAUAAGUGAUGUAUCAAACCAAUUCAUAUUUUGUUCUUGUAUCAUAUCUACUGUAUUCCAACUUUCUACGGCAAAAACUCAUCAAAGAAAACCAUAGAGCUAUCAAAAUAAGCACACAACACAAAGAAAACAGAAUCUGUCAAACAUAACAGUUUGUAGAAAUCUGACUAUUUCAAAUACUUCCGUAAAUCCAAAAAUUCUGAAAAAUUAGGACGACCUGAGCAUUUUGUAUAUUGAUCUACUGCAAGUGGAAUGGGUAUUUUAUCGCUCUCUAGUAAAAAAAUGAAAAUUAGUUUCGUGAGUGUAAAAUUUUCUGUUUUUCAGCAAGAUUAAACAAGUAUCACCCAAGAAGAUCCUAAAGGCUUUGCUUGACAUAAACACUAAUUAAAACAUAAAAACACAAUCAUAAUAGUAGCAUAAUUGUGCUAAUACACAAAAACAGGAAGCAAAAAGUAAAAAAAAAAAUUCAUUGGGUUGCCUCCCAACAAGCGCUAUAGUUUCAAGCCCCUAGCUAGGCAUAAGAUUUCAAGGAUGCUCACAUGAAAGAUAAGAAUUGAAACACAAAAAGAGCAUCAUGAAACAUACGACAAACACAUUUAAGUCUAACAUGCUUCCUAUGCAUAUGAAUUUUGUAAGAAAACAAAUUAUCAAGACAAGAAACAUCUAACAUAUGCAAAGAGGAGGAAUAAAACAUUAACGAUCUCAACAUAACGAGAGGUAAUUUUGUAACAUGAAAUUUUCUAUAACCAUAUUUCCCUCUCUCAAAAUAAUUGCAUGUAAGAUCAUAAUCAAAUUCAACAAUACAACUAUCACAUAAAAAAUUCUCUUCAUGAUCCACAUGCAUGCAAAAUUGACACUCUUUUAAAAUAGUGGGAUUAUAAUUAAAUAAAGUCAUGACCUCUCCGAGCCCACUUUUAUCAAAAUUUUCAUAAGACUGAACACUCUCCAAAUAUGUGGGAAUAUUUUUAGCUAAAGUUGACACUCUUCCAAACCCACUUUCAAUAUUAUCGCAAGCAUAUUCAUCAUGAGGUUUAAAUAUAUUUUGAAGAUCAUAAGAAUCAUUAUCACCCCAAUCAUGGUCAUUGCAAUAAGUAGCGGACAUGACAAAACAAGCAUCCCCAAGCUUGGGGUUUUGCAUAUUAUUAGCACAAUUGACAUUAAUAGAAUUUAUAGUAAAAUUAUUAAAAUAAUGCUUUCCAUUCAAGGAGCUAGCAUGAAUCACUUCAUAAAUUUCUUCAUCACAAUUUUCAGAUUCACGAUUCUCAAGCAAAACAUCAUAAAGAUAAUCUAGUGCACUCAACUCACUAGCAAUUGGUCCGUCAUGAUUGGAUCUUUUAAAAAGAUUAGAAAGUGGAUGGGGAUCCAUAUCAAUAGAUUUUUAGCAAGCGAAGAUGCAAGCAUAUAGAGGCACAUGGCAACACAAGCAAACAAAAGAUCUGACGAGACAAAGGUGAACGAAAAAGAGGACGAAUAAAACUGUAAAUUUUUGUGAAGUGGGGGAGAGGAAAACGAGAGGCAAAUGGUAAAUAAUGUAAAUUGCGAGGAGAUGAGAUUUUUGAUUAGGAACCUGGUUAUGUUGAAGAUCCUCCCCGGCAACAGCGCCGGAAAUACCUUUUGAUUACUCUCUAACUAUAGCGCCAGAAAAGCUCAUGUCUGCUAGGACUACGUCGGUAUUUCCCCAAAGAGGAAGGGAUGAUGCAGCACAUCGACGGUAGGUAUUUCCCUCGGUGAAGAAACCAAGGUUAUCGAGCCAGUAGGAGAACCAAACAACACAACGUAAACAGUACCUGCACACAAGUAACAACACCUCACAACCCGACGUGUUAAAGGGCUUGUCAAUCCCUUUCGGAUAACGAUGCCAGAGAUUGUAAUAGAUCGCAAAUAAAAUAAAGUGCAACAAAGUAUUUUUGUAUUUUUGGUUUAAUAGAUCUGAAUAAAAAUGCAAAGGAAAAGUAGAUCGCAAGAAAAUAUAUGAGAAAGAAGACCCGGGGGCCAUAUGUUUCACUAGUGGCUUCUCUCGAGAAAGAUAGCAAACGAUGAGUAAAAAAAUUACUGUUGGGCAAUUGAUAGAACUUCAAAUAAUUAUGACGAUAUCCAGGCAAUGAUCAUUACAUAGGCAUCAUAUCCAAAACUAGUAGACUGACUCCUGCCUGCAUCUAGUACUAUUACUCCACAAAUCGACCGCUAUCCAACAUGCAUCUAGUGUAUUAAGUUCAUGGAAAAACGGAGUAAUGCAAUAAGAACGAUGGCAUGAUGUAGACAAGAUCCAUUUAUCUAUUGCGUAGAUAUAGAUCUCAUCAUUUUAUCCUUAGUAGCAACGAUACAUACGUGCCGGUUCCCUUUCUGUCACUGGGAUCAAGCACCGUAAGAUCGAACCCACUACCGGGCACCACUUCCAUUACAAGAUAAAUAGAUCAAGUUUGCUAAACAAAACCCAAAUAUCGGAGAAGAAAUACGAGGCUAUAAGAGAUCAAGGAAACUCAAAUAAUUUUCAUGGAUAUAAAAAGAUAUGACUGAUCAUAAACUCAAAGUUCAUUAGAUCCCCACAAACAAAAAGCAAAAAAAGUUACAUCAUAUGGAUCUCCAAGAGACUAUUGUAUUGAGAAUCAAGAGAGAGAGAGAGAGAGAGAGAGAGAGAGAGAUAGAGAGAGAGAUGAAGCCAGCUAGCUACUAACUACGGACCCGAAGGUCUACAAAGAACUACUCACGUAUCAGCGAAGAAGCACCAAUGGAGGUGGUGAACCCCAUCUGAGAUGGUGUUUAGAUUGGAUCUGGUGAUUCUAGACUCUCCGGCGGCUGGAUGAAUAUUUCGUCGACCCCCCUAGGGUUUUGGUAUUUUUGGGGUAUUUAUAGAGCAAAGACGCGGUUAGGGGGAACCCGAGGUGGGCACUACCCACCAGGGCGCGCCUGGCCUCCUGGUACGACCUGGUGGGUUGUCCCCUCCUUGGGACUCCCCGCAGUUGCAACCAGGGCCCAACAUGUUCUUUCUGGUCCAUAAAAAAUCUAUGUAAAGUUUGUGGCAUUUGGACUCCGUCUGAUAUUGAUUCUCUAUGAUGUAAAAACAUGGAAAAAAGAGGAACUGGCAGUUGAAACUAUCUCAAUAGGUUAGUACCAAAAAAGAUAUAAAAUAAUUACUCCCUCUGUUCACUUUUGUAAGUCGUUUAGGAUAAUUGAAAUUGAACUAUUUUAGGUGAUGUCUUAAAUGUCUAAAAGGUCUUACAAAAGUGAACGGAGGGAGUAUAAAACAUCCAAGAUUGAUAAUAUAACAACAUGGAACAAUAAAAAAUUAUAAAUAUGUUGGAGACGUAUCACGCCCAGGCUUGCCGAGGAGAAAUGAUGGCAACGAGAAGCGAGCUGCCUCUCCACCUUGCGCAGCCUGUCCAGACGUACAUACAUGUUGCUUUGAUUAAAUCUGGCUUGAAGUUCUUGCUUUGAUUCCGAUCGAAAACGAGGGAGGAGGAGCGAGGCUCCAUCAAUGGAUAGAUGCGCAAAACAAAUCAAACAAGGUUUUCCAUAGGACCGACCAAGGCACGCAUGCAUGCGAGCAUGCGUGUGUUGUCCCGGUGGUACCAGCGAGCAAGAGAAGCAUGCAUGCACUCAUGUUCCUAUUUAGAUAGAAAAAGGCACACACAAAAAUUUAAGGUUUAUUGACAAACAAACCUGCUUCUCUCCUAAACUAUAAGCCAAAGCUUUCUCCCCCAACUAGGCUUGUCUUUGCUUGUUGAACUUCUGAACAAAUCUUGCAGAAAAUUCAGAACCUUGAGAUUUUGUGACUCUAGUCUAGUGUGAACUUCAGUAAAUGAAUCAAUGAUAAAGCCAGCUAAUAUGUAGUAUGAAUCAACGCAGAUGCUAGUGUUUAGCAAU
This 68859-nucleotide long non-coding RNA is filed under the name Triticum aestivum (bread wheat). Its description in RNAcentral is "long non-coding RNA (TAES_LNC025125)". The stretch from base 52557 to 52643 matches the Rfam family "MIR1120/MIR1122 microRNA precursor family". The record is from RNAcentral. Lineage: Eukaryota; Viridiplantae; Streptophyta; Magnoliopsida; Poales; Poaceae.